GAAAUUCUCGUGGUGCACAUCGAUGUUGUAUCGUGUCGGCAGGAAGGCCACAGGCCAAAAGCUUUCUGGCCAUGCUGCAUAAUGCAGAGAUACAGAACAGCACAAUCAGACACUCUUCCAGGAGCCAGAACUUCUCUCUCGCUCAGCAGCCAACAAUCUCAGAAAACAAAUGAGCCAGUUCACACAAGUUACAUGUAAAUUUCCUCUUGCUUUCUUCCAUUACGCAUCAUCUAAUCAAUCCAUACUAUAUCGACAGCAGCUGCUGCAGCAGCCAGUGGAUGACACACAAGUAAGAACAGAGAAAGAUGGCAAAAAUUAUCAGUCUAUUUCCCGUGGAUUACAUGAUGAUAUGAUGAUGAUGAACUUAUUCACAUUAUCACAUAAGGCAGAGUAUCAGAUAUUCAGAACUUGAGUGGUAGUAAAACAGAGACCAAAAAUCCAAUUCUAUCGAGAUAGUAGAAGCACUUCGCAGUAGGCAGCCGCGCCGCCGCGUUAGUCCGGGAGCAGGAAGGGGAGGAGGUGACGCAUCCGAAGCAGGCGGGAGGCCGAUCAGAGGCGGAGCAGCGUGUCGCAGCGCCAGUCCAUCUCGUCGGCGGCGGCCGCGGGGUCCGGCAGGUUCAGAUCGAAGGGCAGCGAGGACGAGGAGGGGCGCGGCGGCGCUGCAACCUCGUCUGCGGCAGCGGCGCCCCCCGACGCGCCGUCCUCGCACACCGCGGACGAGGAGGAGCCGCAGUAGCUGCGGCAGUCCUCCUCGACGGCCGGGGCGCCGAUCGCGGCUGCGGCGGCGGCGCGGAAGAGGACGCUGGUGGCCGGGACGCCGCCGCUCCAGGACUCGAUCGUGCUGCUGUGGCUAGAUGUGGCCGCCGCGGCCAUCGUCGCCGGCGCGGCGACGGGGGCGGGGGGCGCCGCGCGCGGCGGCGCCGCGGCGGGGGAGGCGGGGAAGUUGGUGCGCGCGGCGGCGCCGCGGAGGUUCCUGGCGGCGGCGUCGUAGGCGCGCGCGGCGGCCUCGGCGGAGUCGAAGGUGCCGAGCCAGAUCGGGGUCUUCUUCGCCGGGUCGCGGAUCUCGGCCGCGUACCGGCCCGACGGGCGCCGCCGCACCCCGCGGUACCUCACCUCCUCGCCCUCCAGCCCCGGCCCCGGCGGCGGCCUCGCGCGCCGCAUCGCGUCGCCUCGCCUCCCUCGGCGCCCCUCUCGCUCGCCUCGUCUGGUGUGGUCUCUCUCGUCUCGCGCUCGCUCGGCCUUCCCUCGGCGACUCCACCGUGCGCGCCUUGUUUGUGUGUUUGGUCGGCAGCGGGCUGGCCGGCUGACGCGGCGGGCCCGCCCACGACCGGGCGUCGCGUCGGUUUGUUUAUGAUUAUUAUUCCAUUCCAAUCGACCGCGUCCACGUCCCCGUCCUCGGGUCGGGUGAGGUUGAGGUUGGGGUCGGGUCGUCACCUCCCCCUCCCCGCACCGCGUUCCCGUCCGGCGUCAGCGCGACGCGUACCCCCUCUCCCGGCCGCUGGUAGACUAACCGUCUGUCUGGUGCACAGAUUUUUUUCCCUUUCUGUGAUGGACGGAUGGGUGCGGAAUCGCGGUGGUGGGCACGGUCGGCAGUAGCGCCGUCGGCCACUAGCGGGGCAUAUUCGCCGACGCUGCAGCCUGGCCUGCCGGUGCGUGCCGUGCGGUCGAUCUUUGGUUGCGCCGUUUAUUUUAUUUAUUAUAUCACUAUAUUAUAUAUUACGGGAAUAUUAUAUAUUACGGGACGCGAUUUUAAGCGCACGAUUCGUGGAUGAGAUUGUUGGGAGCCGACACAGCGACACAUGGUAGCAGGCGGGUAGCGUCUGCUCUGCUGCCACACAUGGAAUUCUUCAGAAAAUGUUUCUUCCUUCUAAACUUCAUUUCUGCAAUUUUGAAACUGGCCAAUCCAUGCAUGUUUCUGCCAAAAUUGCCGGAAAAAACACAAGUCCUACUAUAGUGCCUAUUCAUCUUGAAUUUUCCCACCAGGUAUCUAUUCCGAACAGUGGUCAAAGAUGCAUAGGCUACGGCAGUACAGCACUGAAGACAAAAGGAAAGAGCCGACGCAUCUCUGAACAUUGUGUUACACGUUUAUCACUUUUCCCACACAAGGGCAGGCAUAACCUUGCACAUGCCAUGGGUCUCUCACGCUUGCCUACUUCCAUCAUGAGUCAUGGCAGACGAACAACACUUGCGGAAUAAGUUGCGACUGACGAGAGGUCAGCAACAAGUUCACUGGUAAGGGUUGCUGAAGUUCUUGAGGAGGUCCGGGAUGUCGUGCGCGAGCAUGUCGUCCACGGCCUGCACCAUCUUGGGCUUCAUCUUCUCGAACUUGUCGAUGCUGUACCCGGACAGCACCUGCUUGAAGUGCUCCACGUCGGGGAAGUCGCCCGCCGGAAGGUGGUACUCCCUCUGGACCUGUUUCCAAUACAUCUCAGGCGUCAAUGGAGCGGGCACAUUGUGCAGAAAGGAGGCAGUUAUGGAUUAAGAUGCAAGCAAAUGAACACCAUGUAUUUGAAAUUCAUUUGGUUUCACUUUGCGGUGGAGGAAGGUAUUCAUCAUGUAUCUGAAAUUCAUCAUGCAAAUUCAUUGUUUUGCAUGUUAAUACCUUUGCAAACUCAUCUUGCAAGUUGUCAAUGAGUCGCUGUUGAGCCUUGGCUUUCCCCAUCAUUGCAGGCAUCUCCUUCUUCAGCUGGCCAAUUAUGUAAGCAUGGAUCUUCGCAGCUCUAGCACGCUUCACAAACUCAUUGACCUACGCAUGGAAAUGGCAAGCCAGUCAUAUUGAAAUUCUGCAGUCCAUAUAAGGAUUCCAUACAUAAUUAAGUAUGAUACAUUAUUACUUACCCGGCGAUCACAAGCCUUCUUAGGUAUGUCUUUCAGGUCAGCAAGGAGAUCCUCUUGCUCUUUCUCAAACAAUUCCUUUCCAAUUGGCCCAACAGCUGAUUCAUUCACAGGUUUGUCAUUGAACGACCUGCAAAUAUUAGCUUCAACAUGAGUUUCAGGUUACGAUACAAAAACAUGAAGACACCAGUCCUGCACCUGGUGCUGGAUUCACACUACAUUUUGGUCUUCAAAAAUAUGCAGACUUUUUUUUCUUUGAUAGUAUACUAGAGCUGUACAACCUUCAAUCUCCAGAAGUAAAGAUUACUAAAGCAUUACAGCAUUACAGAGAAGAGGACUAUUACCCAAUGUAGACACGCAUAACCUCAGGGGUGUUUAGAACUUUCCCAAGAGACCACAUCAGCGCACCGUACACUCUCAUAAGCUGCAGCACACAUAAGGGAAAAUUUUGGUUUCAUAUAAUCAUGUGUGCCGGGUUACACCUAGGGAAAAAAAUAGCAGGAACAUACAAGUAGAUUGCAAGAAAAACAUAUACCUGCUGAGUGUCAACUUGAUCUGCCUUGUUCAGCACCACACGUAUUUUGUCUUCAUUCCCACGUAAAGAAGAAAUGACACGCUUGAAUUCAUCACUGAUAUCGAGCUUGUGAGGAUCAAACAAUAGAAGAAUAACAUCGCACUUUGCAGCAAACCAUGAAGUUACACCAGUGAAAUCAUAACUACGCUGGGUCCUUUGCUUUUCACCAGAGAGAACACCAGGAGUGUCGACAAAGGUGAUAUGAUCCAGUAGCUUCAAAAAACAAGGCAGCUAUCAGUGUCUGAAAUGACUGUUUCACAUGUAUUAGUAUCUCAAUUAAUGCUUACAGGAUGUGGCAUCUGAGAGCAUUCAAACUUUGAUAGGAAUGCACCCCCAAAUGUCGUGAGACCAUUGAAAGGCAUAUCGGCUUGGACUGCAAUUGUAUUGCCAGGAACAGUCCUUUCAUCAGAUCCUGACUGACGUGGGGAAAAAAUAUGAGAGAUCAAUGGGAUAAAUACGAGUACAUUAACAAUAGAAGCAAAUAGGGAAUGCAAAUUGAUAAGAUUUUUAUGUCAAAUGUCAGCCAGAAAUCCUGUAUCCAAAAAAGUGCACAAAUAUUUUACACGUGUGCAUUAAAACUCUAGCCACUAAAGGAAUAUUUUAAUGAAAAGUGGGAUAAACAAAACAGCAGUUGUCUUCUGUGUCCCAUUGUAUUUCAGCAAACUAAGAACACAACACCAUCGUGAUAAAGAAACUCCUCAAACUCCUGGGUUAUUACCAAGUUAUGUGUUUAUUAACAGCUCUCAUCAAUUCAUGCUUUUGCUGACAUAGAAACAAAAGCAACUAUUAAAUCCUCACAUCAUGCUACAAAAUUGAUGAAGCUGGGCAGAACAGACACUACUGUCAUUGGUCCAUAUCUGUAUGCCAUCUUUGUUUCUUACAAAAGAAAGAGCUGAUGUUUUCAACAUCAACAUAAAUAAUUCAGUUAACACUGAAAAGCAAGCAUUCCGAGUAAAUAUGCUCAAGCAAUAAUUAUCUGAAAAAUCUCUUAUCCUUGCUGCAUGUACAUAAAUAUUCAUGCAACACUUACCAUCACAACCACAAAUCUGUCAGUAGUGGGCUCUGGUCCGAUAUGAGCUCCUGCAUUUCGAAAGGCCAAUUAGAGUUGCAGUCCGAUGUUAUAGAGAAACGUACCACCAAAAUAGAUGGCGUGGCCAAAAAUGAAACUCAGGUUUUCUGUAUUAAAUAAAGCCCCAAACCUGGGAAGUUUGUCUUCAACAGGUGCUUAAUGAAUGUUGUUUUCCCUGUAGAAUAUUGACCUAAGAGCAUAACCAUUGGCUUCGCAUCGAAGUCGCUGUUCGUCUGAAAUAUGGAAGAAUAAAUGCAAUGACAUGAAAGUACCGACUCAAUAACACACUCGGGAUGAAAGAAGAUGGGGUCGAGAACAUUGUGAUCUGUAAAUCAUAACGAAACUAGGGUUUAAACAGAAGUCUGUACCAGCAAUGGAGAGGCAAAAUCAUUGAACCGGUAUGCAACUUCUAAAGGCUUCAGUUUUUCGAUGUACAGUCUUUUCAAGCCAUCAAUUACAGAAGUAACAGCAGUCAGAGGCGUUUGAAUCUACAAAGCACCAAAGAAAAGACUGCUGUGAAUACAUGCUCUAAUUGGCAAAGUCAGCUUCGAUGAUUCAAUAAGUUACAGUGGUUUAGUUAAUAACAAAGAGAGAAAAUUAAUAUGUGCUGCAAUGACAAAGUUACUGAAAAUGGAAAGAUUGCACAUGAGUAGAGUACCUUCUUUGCUGAUUUGGAACUGAACCAGCUGUUUGUAGAAGGUGCUUGCACCUGAGGGGUGCCUGAACAGAACAGAAAUGAUUAGCAUCAUACAGGACUUUAUUAUCAUGAUUUACCAUGGGAAAAGGGGGCAGACUGAUUACCAUUUUCUUGUGGGCGAACUACAUUCACAAUAGCCAUUGAUCUCUAAAAAAGAAAUACCCAUUACAAAAUACCAUGUUAGUGUGAGAGGCUGUAAAUGCAAUUGAAUGACACAGGAUAAGCUGCACAUCUAAUAAACUUACAGCAAGCAGCUCAUCAAGACCUUUCAUCACAGGAGGAUCGAAGCUACUCAGAUCUGAGAAAACAACCACAAGCAAUCCAGCUCAAAUAUCAGACACAGAUGAACUCGGCAGAAAUAAAAACAGAUGAGGCGCAGUUCACAGCCCACAUCAUAACAAGGUGCCACCGACCUUCACGCUUGAGACUGUCCUGGGUGAUCUCAUUCCCCGCUUGAGCCAGAGAUACGAGCUGCAGAUUGCAACAGACGAAACCAUCAACACCACACAGCCACAUCUCCUACUACCAGCAGCACAGACUAGCGAACUAGCGCCUAAACGGAGAGGGCAAAAGUGGGCAAACCUGCAUCGCGGCCGCGAACUCGCCGAAGCCGAGGUAACCCUGCCGCUUGGAGUCAGCAAUCGCCCAAACCUUGAAUCGAUCGACAACGGACUAGUUAGACUCCCAUUCACCAGCGGCAACUCGAGUUAUCGGCGGCCGGUUCACUCACCUGCUUGAGGUCGGCGCGGGAGAGGCCGGACAUGGCGAAGAACUUGGUGGCGUCGGCGCCCGUGACGCGCCCGUCUCCAUCUGCAGGGACAGCCGGGGACGCCGCCCCAGGAGAAUCAGCAAAGCGUCGGCCAUCCCCUCCCAAUCCUUAGAUUUGGGGGGCGCUGGUGGUGGGAACCGCGAAGGUUGCGAGAGCACGCACCUGGGUCGGCGAUGGCGAACCAGUCGGCGUAGAUCCUCUGGUGCUCCUUGGAGCAGCCCACGGCGGCGGCGGACCGCGCGAUCUCCAUCCACGGUUUCCCUCCUCGCGUCGGCGGCGGCGGCGGCUGACGCGAGCAGCAGCGGCAGCAGGAGUGGACAAACGGAAACCUCACAGGGUGCGUGUGCUCGUCUCCUCUCCCCCUCUUCGGCGUGGAAUGGGGAGGCAUUUGAAAUCGGGGACCCCCCCNNNNNNNNNNNNNNNNNNNNNNNNNNNNNNNNNNNNNNNNNNNNNNNNNNNNNNNNNNNNNNNNNNNNNNNNNNNNNNNNNNNNNNNNNNNNNNNNNNNNNNNNNNNNNNNNNNNNNNNNNNNNNNNNNNNNNNNNNNNNNNNNNNNNNNNNNNNNNNNNNNNNNNNNNNNNNNNNNNNNNNNNNNNNNNNNNNNNNNNNNNNNNNNNNNNNNNNNNNNNNNNNNNNNNNNNNNNNNNNNNNNNNNNNNNNNNNNNNNNNNNNNNNNNNNNNNNNNNNNNNNNNNNNNNNNNNNNNNNNNNNNNNNNNNNNNNNNNNNNNNNNNNNNNNNNNNNNNNNNUUUUUCAGUUUCUUUAAUGGGGCUGGACGCUCCCCUUUAUUUUAGGGCUGGACCGGUGCUCGGAAUUGUUUCGAACGAAUGGUGUUCGGCCCAUAUGACUAGAAGGCCUGUUAGGUCAGUUGUAGGUUGUUUUUUUUUCUCAUCCGGGCUGAAUGUAUGAACGGCAGAAUGGUAAAAUGGCUCCCCUAACAAACAAACAAAAACUUACUUUCUCAAAAAUAAAAAUCCUUAGGGAAGAUUGGUUGCAGCAUAGAGCUGAGUAUUCAAACACCGAGACAAGCAUAAAACAGUGGAGGCGGUUGUGAAAGUUAAGGUCCCCUCAAAACUAAAAAACUUUGCACGGAGUUUGGUGAAGAAUCAUGUUCAUGCAUUUUUAGUUUGUCACCAUCACAAUAUGAUAGGGUCAGGCCUUGUGCUAUAUGCAAUGUGAUACGUGGAAGCUGAAAGGAUCAAUACGAUCAAAUACAUGAGGGUGAAUAAAAUACUAUUAAUUUUAAACUUAACUUCUAAUUUUAGGGCAAUGUGAAUAAAGUAGAUUAUCUAGAUAUGCAAAUGGGUGAACACAAUUUAUAUGGCAAGCAAGCUCAAAUCAGAGUAUGCUAGGCAACAAUCUUAUUAGCAAACCAAUAAGCAUACAAGAGAAGUAAAGUGAGGCCAAGGAUUAACCACGAGUGAGUCAAGGACGCAGAUUUUAUCCCGGAGUUCAAGCUCCUUGGGGAGUUCUAAUUUGCGUUGAAGAAUGUCGAAGGCAAAGCUCGAGAGCGUCACCGGCUCAUCAUAUUCCCAGUUUGAGUCACCCCCUCCCCUCCCCAAUGUAUGAGCAUCAAAUCACUCGGGAUGGUCUUAAAGGUGAGUACCAUACCUUUACAAAUUUUCGGAAGCACACCAUAAGUAGAGAAGUUUCUGGGGAUGACCUCUACCGCCUAGGAGCCCAACCUUCAAGAGUAACAAUGCUGAUGGAGAAAAAUUGAGCGGAGAACACAAAUCGAUUUGGUGGAAGUGCAGAUCGGGUUUUGCUCUCUUUUUCCAAAGAAUCAACAAGUUUGAGUGGGGGAAUGGAGAGUAUUGAGCAAAUCCAGGUGUACCAAUGGGGGAGGCUUGCUACUUGUGAGUUGCGUUGUGAUUUCCCCGAAUAGGAGAGGAUGAUGAAGUACAUUAGAAAUAAGUACUUCCCUCAGUUAAGAACCAAUGUUGUCAAUCUAGUAGGAGAACCACACAACACCUUGUUAGCAGUACCUACACACAAAACAACAACUACUUGCACCCAACGCGAACAAGGGGUUGUCAAUCCCUCGUCGGUUAAUUGCAAGGAUUAAAAUCUCGUAGUGAUAGAUAUAUAAAUAAAAUACAAAAUAAAUAAAGUAAAGAAAAAUUGUAGCAAGGUAUUUUGGAUUUUAAUAUAUGAUAAAAAGUAGACCCAGGGCCAUAGUUUUCACUAGAGGCUUCUCUCUUGAAAAUAGCAUACGGUGGGUAAACAAAUUAUUGUUAGGAAAUUGAUAGAAAAGCGAAUAAUCAUGAUGAUAUCCAAGGCAAUGAUCAUGUAUAUAGGCAUCACAUCCGAGACAAGUAGACCGACUCCUGCCUGCAUGUACUACUAUUACUCCACACAUCGACCGCUAUCCAGCAUACAUCUAGAGUAUUAAGUUCAUAAAGAACGGAGUAAUGCCUUAAGCAAGAUGAUGUGAUGUAGACAAAGUAAACUCAUGCAUGAAUAAACCCCAUUUUUUUAUCCUUAAUGGCAACGAUACAAAUACGUGUCAUGUCUCUUUCUGUCACUGGGAUUGAGCACCACAAGAUCGAACCCAUCACAAAGCACAUCUCCCAUGGCAAGAAAAAUCAAUCUAGUUGGCCAAACCAAAUCAAUAGAUUGAAUAGAAAUACAAAGCCAUAAUAAUCAUGCAUAAACGAGUUCAGAGAAGACUCAAAUAAUAUUCAUGGAUAAUCUGAUCAUAAACUCACAAUUCAUCAGAUCCCAACAAACACACCAUAAAAAGUGAUUACAUCGAAUAAAUCUCCAAGAACAUCGAGGAGAACACUGUAUUGAAGAUCAAAGAGAGCGGAGAGGCCAUCUAGGUACUAACUAUGGACCAGUAGAUCUAUAGUAGACUGCUCACACAUCAUCAGAAGAGCAACAGGUUGAUGUAGAGCCCCUCCGUGGUUGAUUCCCCCUCCGGCAGAGUGCCGAAAAAGGCCUCCAGAUGGGAUCUCUCGAGAAGAGAAGCUUGCGGCGGCGGAAAAAGUAUUUUGGGUGGCUCUCUGUUGGUUUCUCGAUUUCAGAGAACUUAUAGAGGCGGAAUUAGGUCAAAUGGGUGAACAUGGACCUCACGAGCCACCAGGGACGCGCCUACCCCCUGGGCGCACCCUGGUGCCUUGUGGGAUCCUCCUUUAUCUUCUGGCCCUCUCCCGAAGCUUUCAGGGUCUCUUUUGUUCGGAAAAAAUCUUCAAAAAGUUUCAUGGCAUUUGGACUUCGUUUGGUACUGAUAUUCUGAAAAACCAAAAACACGCAAAAACAUCAACUGGCACUGGGCACUAAGUUAAUAGGUUAGUCCCAAAUAAUGAUAUAUAAUUUUUUGCAGGAAAAAAUGAUAUAUAAUUGCUUGUAGUUUCAUAUAAACAUCCAAGAUUGAUACUAUAAUAGCAUGGAACAAUAAAAAAUGUAGAUACGUUGGAGAUGUAUCAAGGCUCACAAGGUGUUAGGGUUAGGUUUGGAGGUAGAAGAAGGGAGGAAUUUACGGUCUCUCCAAAAAACCGUUUGGAGUCUGGAGACCCCAUGUGCGCAGGAGUAGACCUUGUGUGCGCGGUAGAGCUGUCCAGUUGGUUUCCCACUCCCCCGUGUGCAAGGGGAUAGCCAACCAAUGGCUCAAUCUUAUACUAGGCUAGAUAUUUUGAAAGUGGAUAAGUUUGGGUAGGCUAGUUUAUUUGGUUUGUGAAAGGAUAAGAAUGAUCGACUAGAAGGGGGUUGAAUAGGCGACUAAUAAUUUUUAACUUGGUUCUCAAUUUUAGGCUCAGCAAAAGGUAGGUUGUCUAGAUAUGCAACUAGGUGGACAACCUAUGUGAUAAGAAUAAUGAGCAGCACAAGCUCGCAAGAGUAAAACACAAGGUGGAAGCUACCAACAAGUAAAUGUACGAGAUAACCGCAAGUGGAGACGAUGAAGACGAGGAUGUGUUCCCAAAGUUCCCUCAUUGGGGGAGGUACGUCUCCGUUGGAGGGGUGUGGAGGCACAAUGAUCCCCAAGCAUCCCAAGGACUCACCUAUUCUCCUCACCCCUCGCACGAUGCAAGGUGCCACGAAUUCACUAGCGGUGCCCUUGAAGGUGGUAACCCGAACCUUUACAAACAAGGUUGGGGCUCUCUCACAACUUAAUUGGAGGCUCUCAACACCACCACAGAGCUUCACCAUAAUGGAAUGUGGCUCCAAGGUGAUCUAUUCCUUCUAGGAUGCCCAAACACCCAAGAGUAACAAGAUCAACAAGAAGUGUAUGGGGGAAUCAAAUUUUCUUUGAUGGAAGUGUAGAUCUUUUCUUUGGAUAAACUUGCCUCCAUUGUUUUCUCUCUUCUCAUAAGGACACUCCACAAUGAAGGGAGUCACAUUCCCAUAAUUGUGACAAGUCCUUACUCAUUGACCUUUUGGCCUGUAGCCACUUGAGUUGUUGGACUUGAAGUUCCUCUUGUUGCCCCAAAAUUGCCUUAACUCAAGAGUCAUGUGAUCUAGUAAGCAUAUUUGGUGUCCUCGGGGCAACUAUCAUCCUCUUAUUCUUCCUCUUCUUGGAUAACAUUGGCCUUCAAAGCAAGGUCGGGUUUCUUCAAUCAUACACGAGCAAUAGCAUUGUCGGCGGUCUUGUUCAAGAUGUCCAUGGCGAUGAAAUCAUCCAACACAUAAUUGGAGGAUAAGGAAUGAAAGUAUGGUCUUUGGCGGAUCACGGAAGACAUUCUCUUGUUGUAAGGCAUGACCGCCUUAAGAAACUUGCGCUUGACCCAAUUGACAUAUGUGUCCUUGCUCCAAUGAUCUCGAAGGAAAACCGUGGGAGUCGCUGCUACUUGUGAGUUGUGUUGGGAUUUCCCCCGAAGAGGAAGGGUGAAGCAAUAUAGUAGAGGAUAGUAUUUCCCUUAGUGAGCCAAUGUUAUUGAACCAAUAGGAUAACCACACAAGUGAACAAUACAUGCACGUACAAGAGCAAAUACUUGCACCCAACACGGGCAAUAUGGUUGUCAAUCCCCUUGUACUUGUUAAUUGCAAGGAUUAAAUCUAAUAGUUGUAGGUAGAUAAAAUUGCAAAUAAAAUAAAAGAAGUAAAAUUGUAGCAAGGUAUUUUUGGUUUUUGUAAUAUGAUUGAAAUAGACCUCGGGGCCAUAGUUUUCACCAGAGGCAUUUCUCUCAUAAUAAAAGCAUACUAUGGGUAGACAAAUUAUUGUUGGGCAAUUCAUAGAAAAGCGCAAAGUUAUGACAUUAUUCAUGGUAAUGAUCAUGUAUAUAGGCAUUAAGUCCGUGACAAGUAGAUCGACUCCUGCCUGCAUCUACUACUAUUACUCCACCCAUCGACCAACUCAUGCCUGCAUCUAGGGUAUCAAGUUCAUGACAAACAAAGCAAUGCUUUAAGCAAGAUGGCAUAAUGUAGAUAGAAUAAAGGGAUAAUUGGUUUUAUGCCCCUAGUUGUGUCCCACUCGACGGGAUUGCCCCUAAUUUCCAAAAGACAGCGGUUCUAUCCAACCCACUUUGUCGUCUUGUGCUUUCGCCCUUUGACCGUUUGACUGUCACUUUGAAAACUUCAUAACUAAUUCAUACUAAACCAGAAAAAUGCAAAUAAGAUACUGAAAUGUUUGGAAAAACAUCACAUGUAUGUUAAUGUCAAUUGCAUUCAUAAAAAAAGUGGUGGUAAGUGCCCAUUCGAGUUUUAGCUCUUAUCACAGCACCAUGAACAGUAAAAUCUUAAAAAGUUCAAAAAAUCCAAAAAAAUUUGGUGCCAAAGAAUGACAAAUGUUUUAAGCGCUUGCCAAGUUUCACCAGGGAAUGCCAUUUGUGGAAGUCAUGGCAAAAAACAAUCUAUUUUGGAGUGUUGAUUUUUUUGCCAUGACUUCCACAAAUGUCAUUGCCUGAUGAAACUUGGCAAGCACUAAAAACAUUUGUCAUUCUUUGACACCAAUGUUUUUUGGAUUUUUUUGAACUUUGUAUGAUUUUACUAUUCAUGGUGGUGUGAUAAGAGCUAAAACUCAAAUGGGCACUUAUCAACACUUUUUUCAUGAAUGCAAAGUGACAUUGACAUACAGGUGAUGUUUUUCCAAACAUUUUGGCAUCUUAUUUGCAUUUUUCUGAUUUAGUAUGAAUUAGUUAUGAAGUUUUCAAAGUGACAGUCAAACGGUCAAAGGGUAAAAGCACAAGACGACCAAAGUGGGUUGGACAGAACCGCUGGCUUUUGGAUUAGGGGCAAUCAUGUCGAGUGGGACACAACUAGGGGCAUAAAACCAAUUAUCCCUAGAAUAAAACCAAGCAAUAUGAUUAAACCCCAUCAUUUUACCCUUAAUGGCAAUAAUACAAUACGUGCCUUGCUACCCCUGCUGUCACUGGGUGAGGACACCGUAAGACUGAACCCACUACAAAGAACCUCUCUGUUGAAGAUAAAUCAAUCUAGUUGGCCAAACCAAACGGAUAGAUCAGAGAGAAAUACGAAGAUCAUGCAUAAUAAAGUUCAAAAAAGACUCAAUUACUUUUAGUGAAUAAUUUGGUCAUAAACCCACAAUUCAUCGUGAAGGAAAUAUGCCCUAGAGGCAAUAAUAAAGUUGUUAUUAUAUAUUUCCUUAUUCACGAUAAAAGUUUAUUAUUCAUGCUAGAAUUGUAUUGACCGGAAACUUAAAUACAUGUGUGAAUACUUAAACAAAUACCGUGUCCCUAGUAAGCCUCUACUAGACUAGCUCGUUGAUCAAAGAUGGUUAAGGUUUCCUAACCAUUGACAUGUGUUGUCAUUUGAUAACAGGAUCACAUCAUUAGGAGAAUGAUGUGAUGGGCAAGACCCAUCGGUUAGCUUAGCAUAAUGAUUGUUCAGUUUAUUGCUAUUGCUUUCUUCAUGUCAAAUACAUAUUCCUUCGACUAUGAAUGAAACUCCUGGAUACCGGAGGAAUACCUUGUGUACUAUCAAACGUCACAACGUAACUAGGUGAUCACAAAGAUGCUCUACAGGUAUCUCCAAAGGUGUUUUUUGAGUUAGCAUAGAUCGAGAUUAGGAUUUGUCACUUCGAGUAUCAGACUCUGGGCCCUCUCGGUAAUACACAUCAUAAGGAGCCUUGCAAGCAAAGUGACUAAUGAGUUGGUUACAGGAUGAUGUAUUACGGAACGAGUAAAGAGACUUGCCGGCAACGAGAUUGAACUAGGUAGAAGAUAUCGACAAUCGAAUAUCGGGCAAGUAACAUACCGAUGGACAAAGGGAAUUACGUAUAAGGGCUCAACCGAUAAAGAUCUUCGUAGAAUAUGUAGGAGCCAAUAUGGGCAUCCAGGUUCCACUAUUGGUUAUUGACCGGAGACGUGUCUCAGUCAUGUCUACAUAGUUCUCGAACCCGUAGGGUCCGCACGCUUAAACGUUUGUUGGCGAUAUAGUGUUAUAUGAGUUAUAUGAUUUGGUGACUGAAUGUUGUUUAGAGUCUCGGAUGAGAUCACGUACAUGACAAGGAUUCUCGAAAUGGUCUAGAGGUAAAGAUUGAUAUAUAGGACGAUGGUAUUUGGACACCGGAAGGGUUUCAGGAUGCACCAGGUAGCCAUCGGGUCACCAAAAGGGGUUCCGGACACCCCCGGUAGGUGUCAUGGGCUUAAUGGGCUAAGGGAGGGAUAGACCAGCCCACAAGGAGCUGGUGCGCCCCUCUCCCUGGUCGUUCAGCCCUAGGGAAGGAAAAGGGGGAGGGCUAGCCCCUCUUACCUUUCCCUCUCAUGGGAGAAAGGAAAGGGGGCGGGGGUGGGGCGCCACCCUCCCAUGCCUUUCCCCCGCACCUAUACAAGGCAGGGGGUGCGGCUUAGGAGAGACCCCAAGUAGGAUUCCUCCUACUUGGGUGCCCCCCUUGGCUGCUCCUCCCUCCCUCCCACCUAUAUAUAUGUGGGAGGGGGCACUUAGCACAGCAACAGACAAUUGCCUAGCCAUGUGCGGUGCCCCCCUCCACUGUUUACACCCCCGAUCAUAUUUUCGUAGUGCUUAGGUGAAGCCCUGCGGAGAUAGCUUCACCAUCACCAUCACCCAUGCCAUCGUGUUGUCGGAACUCAUCCACUACCUCGUCGUCUUGCUGGAUCAAGAAGGCAGAUGACGUCAUCGAGCUGAACGUGUGCCGAACAUGAAGGUGCCGUACGUUCGGUGCUCGAUCGGUUGAAACGCGAAGAAGUUCGACUACAUCAACCGCGUUGUCAAACGCUUCCGCUUAUGGUCUACGAGGGUACGUAGACACACUCUCCCCCUCUCAUUGCUAUGCAACUCCUUGAUAGAUCUUGCGUGUGCGUAGAAUUUUUUUUGUUUUCCAUGCAACAUUUCCCAGCAGUGGCAUCAGAGCCAGGUCUAUGCGUAGCUGAUAUGCAUGAGUAGAACACAAAGAGUUGUGGGUGGUGAUAGUCAUACUGCUUACCACCAACAUCUUAUUUUGAUUCGGCGGUAUUUUGGGAUGAAGCGGCCCGUAAUAACCUUACAUGUUCAUGCACAUGAGAUCGGUUCCACCGUAAGACAUGCAACUAGUUUUGCAUAAUGGUAGCUGGCGGGUGUCUGUUUCUCCUACUUUAGUUGAAUCGAAUCUGACUACGACCAGUCCUUGAAGAAGGUUAAAACAACAAACUUGAUAAAACACCAUUGUGGUUUUUGCCGUAGGUAAGAACGGUUCUUGCUAGAAGCCCGUAGCAGCCACGUAAAACUUGUUGGAAAUAUGCCCUAGAGGCAAUAAUAAAAUGGUUAUUAUUGUAUUUCCUUGUUCAUGAUAGUUGUCUAUUAUUCAUGCUAUAAUUGUAUUGACCGGAAACCGCAAUACAUGUGUGAAUACAUAGACCACAACAUGUCCCUAGUGAGCCUCUAGUUGACUAGCUCGUUGAUCAACAGAUGGUCAUGGUUUCCUGACCAUGGACAUUGGAUGUCAUUGAUAAUGGGAUCACAUCAUUAGGAGAAUGAUGUGAUGGACAAGACCCAAUCAUAAGCCUAGCACAAGAUCGUGUAGUUCGUAUGCUAAAGCUUUUCUAAAUGUCAAGUAUCUUUUCCUUAGACCAUGAGAUUGUGCAACUCCCGGAUACCGUAGGAAUGCUUUGGGUGUACCAAACGUCACAACGUAACUGGGUGGCUAUAAAGGUGCACUACCGGUAUCUCCGAAAGUGUCUGUUGGGUUGGCACGAAUCGAGACUGGGAUUUGUCACUCCGUGUGACGGAGAGGUAUCUCUGGGCCCACUCGGUAGGACAUUAUCAUAAUGUGCACAAUGUGAUCAAGGAGUUGAUCACGAGAUGAUGUGUUACGGAACAAGUAAAGAGACUUGCCGGUAACGAGAUUGAACAAGGUAUCGGCAUACUGACGAUCGAAUCUCGGGCAAGUACUAUACCGGUAGACAAAGGGAAUUGUAUACGGGAUUGAUUGAAUCCUUGACAUUGUGGUUCAUCCGAUGAGAUCAUCGUGGAACAUGUGUGAGCCAACAUGGGUAUCCAGAUCCCGAUGUUGGUUAUUGGCCGGAGAGUUGUCUCGGUCAUGUCUGCAUGGUUCCCGAACCCGUAGGGUCUACACACUUAAGGUUCGAUGAUGCUAGGGUUAUAGGGAAGGUAUGUACGCGGUUACUGAAUGUUGUUCGGAGUCCCAGAUGAGAUCCCGGACAUCACGAGGAGUCCCGCAAUGGUCCGGAGGUGAAGAUUGAUAUAUUGGACAAAGGGUUUUGGAGUCCGAAAGUGUUCCGGAGGUACCGGGUAAUGACCAGCAUGACCGAAAGGUGUUUCGGGAGCCCCGGCAAGUGUUGGGGGGCUUCAUGGGCCAAGGGGAGGGGGCAAACCAGCCCGCUAAGGGGCUGUGCCCCCCCCUCACCUAUUCCCAUGUGACGAGGGGGUUUGGGGCGCCCCAUCUAGGGUUCCCACCUCCUGGCUUGGGGGCCAAGUCACCCAAAGGGGAGAUCCCAUCUGCCCUGGCCGCCGCCCCCCCUAGGGGAAACCCUAGGGAACCUCCCCCUCUCCCUUCCCCCUAUAUAUAGUGGAGGUUUUGGGGCUACCCAACACAUGAGUCUCUCUCUCCCAAGGCACAUCCCUACCUCCCUCCCUCCUCGUCUCUCGUAGUGCUUGGCGAAGCCCUGCUGGAGUACCGCGCUCCUCCACCACCACCACGCCAUCGUGCUGCUGUUGGACGGAGUCUUCCCCAACCUCUCCCUCUCUCCUUACUGGAUCAAGGCAUGGGAGACGUCACCGGGCUGCACAUGUGUUGAACGCGGAUGCGCCGUUGUUCGGUGCUUAGAUCGAAAUCGACUGCGAUCUGAAUCGCCACGAGUACGACUACCUCAUCCGCGUUCUUGCAACGCUUCCGCUUAGCGAUCUUCAAGGGUAUGAAGAUGCACUCCCUCUCUCUCUCGUUGCUAAUCUCUCCAUAGAUUGAUCUUGGUGAUGCGUAGAAAAUUUUGAAUUUCUGCUACGUUCCCCAACAGUGGUAUCAGAGCCAGGUUUAUUGCAUAGAUUCUAUGCAUGAGUAGAACACAAGUUGUUGUGGGUGUUGAUUUUGUUCAAUAUGCUUACCGUUACUAGCCCUAUCUUGUUUCGACGGUAUUGUGGGAUGAAGCGGCCCGGACCGACCUUACACGUACACUUACGUGAGACAGGUUCCACCGACUGACAUGCACUUGUUGCAUAAGGUGGCUAGCGGGUGCCAGUCUCUCCCACUUUAGUCGGAUCAGAUUCGAUGAAAAGGGUCCUUAUGAAGGGUAAAUAGCAAUUGGCAUAUCACGUUGUGGCUUUUGCGUAGGUAAGAAACGUUCUUGCUAGAAACCCAUAGCAGCCACGUAAAACAUGCAAACAACAAUUAGAGGACGUCUAACUUGUUUUUGCAGGGUAUGCUAUGUGAUGUGAUAUGGCCAAAAUAAUGUGAUGUAUGAUAUUGAUCAUGUUCUUGUAAUAGGAAUCACAACUUGCAUGUCGAUGAGUAUGACAACCGGCAGGAGCCAUAGGAGUUGUCUUUAUUUACUGUAUGACCUGCGUGUCACUGAAUAACGCCAUGUAAUUACUUUACUUCAUUGCUAAACCAUUAGCCAUAGUAGUAGAAGUAAUAGUUGGCGAGACAACUUCAUGGAGACACGAUGAUGGAGAUCAUGAUGAUGGAGAUCAUGGUGUCAUGCCAGUGACGAUGAUGAUCAUGGAGCCCCGAAGAUGGAGAUCAGAAGGAGCAAAAUGAUAUUGGCCAUAUCAUGUCACUUUUUGAUUGCAUGUGAUGUUUAUCAUGUUUAUGCAUCUUAUUUGCUUAGAAUGACGGUAGUAAAUAAGAUGAUCCCUCAUAAUAAUUUCAAGAAAGUGUUCCCCCUAACUGUGCACCAUUGCGAAAGUUCGUUGUUUCGAAGCACCACGUGAUGGUCGGGUGUCAUAGAUUCUAACGUUCACAUACAACGGGUGUAAGCCAGAUUUACACAUGCGAAACACUUAGGUUGACUUGACGAGCCUAGCAUGUACAGACAUGGCCUCGGAACACAAGAGACCGAAAGGUCGAACAUGAGUCGUAUAGUGGAUACGAUCAACAUGAAGAUGUUCACCAAUGAUGACUAGUCCGUCUCACGUGAUGAUCGGACACGGCCUAGUUGACUCGGAUCAUGUAUCACUUAAGAUGACUAGAGGGAUGUCUAUCUGAGUGGGAGUUCAUUAGAUGAACUUAAUUAUCCUGAACAUAGUCAAAAGGUUUUUGCAAAUUAUGUCGUAGCUCACGCUUUAGUUCUACUGUUUUAGAUAUGUUCCUAGAGAAAAUUUAGUUGAAAGUUGAUAGUAGCAAUUAUGUGGACUAGGUCCGUAAACUGAGGAUUGUCCUCAUUGCUACGUAGAAGGCUUAUGUCCUUAAUGCACCGCUUGGUGUGCUGAACCUCGAACGUCGUCUGUGGAUGUUGCGAACAUCUGACAUACACGUUUUGAUGACUACAUGAUAGUUCAGUAAUGUUAAACGGUUUAGAAUUGAGGCACCGAAGAUGAUUUUGAAACGUCGCGGAACAUAGGGGAUGUUCCAAGAGCUGAAAUUGGGAUUUCAGGCUCGUGCCCACGUCAAGAGGUAUAAGACCUCCGACGAGCUUCUUAGCCUACAAACUAAGGGAGAAAAGCUCAAUCAUUGGGCUUGUACUCAGAUUGUCUGGGUACAACAAUCACUUGAAUCGAGCGGGAGUUAAUCUUCUAGAUGAGAUAGUGAUGUUUCUCCAAAGACAUUGCCACCAAGCUAAUAGAGCUUCGUGAUGAACUAUAACAUAUCAGGGAUAGAUAUGAUGAUCCUUGAAAUAUUCGCAAUGUUUGACACCGCGAAAGUAGAAAUCAAGAAGGAGCAUCAAUUAUUGAUGGUUAGUGAAACCACUAGUUUCAAGAAGGGCAAGGGCAAGAAGGGGUACUUCAUGAAAUGACAAAUCAGUUGCUACUCCAGUGAAGAAACCCAGGGUUGAACCCAAACCUGAGACUAAGUGCUUCUGUAAUGAGGGAACGGUCACUGAAUCAGAACUACCCUAGAUACUUGGUAGAUGAGAAGGCUGGCAAGGUUGACAGAAGUAUAUUGGAUAUACGUUGUAUUAAAUGUGUACUUUACUAGUACUCCUAGUAGCACCAGGGUAUUAAGAUACCAGUUUGGUUGCUAAGUGUUAGUAACUCGAAAUAAAAGAGCUACGGAAUAAACGGAGACUAGCUAAAGGUGAGAUGACGAUGUGUGUUGGAAGUGUUUCCAAGGUUGAUGUGAUCAAGCAUCGCCUGCUCCGUCUACCAUCGAGAUUGGUGUUAAACCUAAAUAAUUGUUAUUUGGUGUUUGCGUUGAGCAUAGACAUGAUUGGAUUAUGUCUAUCGCAAUACGGUUAUUCAUUUAAGAAUAAUAGUGGUUACUCUAUUUAUUUGAAUAAUACCUUCAAUGGUCUUGCACCUAAAAGAAUGGUUUAUUGAAUCUCGAUCAUAGUGAUACACAUUUUCAUGCCAAAAGAUAUAAGAUAGUAAUGAUAGUACCACCUGCUUGUGGCACUGCCAUUUGAGUCAUAUUGGUAUAAAACGCAUGAAGAAGCUCCAUGUUGAUGGAUCUUUGGACUCACUCGUUUUUGAAAAGUUUGAGACAUGCGAACCAUGUCUAUUGGUAUGUGCGCAUGAAGAAACUCCAUGCAGAUGGAUCGUUUGGACUCACUUGAUUCUAAAUCACUUGAGACAUGUAGAUCAUACCACAUGGGCAAGAUGACUGAAAAGCCUCAUUUUUUAGUAAGAUGGAACAAGAGAGCAACUUGUUGGAAGUAAUACAUUUUGAUGUGUGUUGUCCAAUGAGUGUCGAGGCACGCAGUGGAUAUCGUUGUGUUCUUACUUCACAGAUGAUUUGAGUAGAUGCUGAGGAUAUUUACUUGAUGAAACACAAGUCUGAAUUAUUGAAAGGUUCAAGUAAUUUUAGAGUGAAGUUGAAGAUCGUCGUGACAAGAGGAUAAAAUGUCUAUGAUAUGAUCAUAGAGAUGAAUAUCUGAGUUACGUGUUUGGUACAAAAUUAAGACAUUGUGGAAAUUGUUUCACAACUAAUACCGCCUGGAACACCAUAGUGUGAUGGUGUGUCCGAACAUCAUAGAUGCACCCUAUUGGAUAUGGGGCAUACCAUGAUGUCUCUUAUCGAAUUACCACUAUCAUUCAUGGGUUAGGCAUUAGAGACAACCACAUUCACUUUAAAUAGGGCACCACGUAAUUCCAUUGAGAUGACACCGUAUGAAUAUGGUUUAGAGAAACCUAAGUUGUCGUUUCUUAAAAGUUUGGGGCUGCGACGCUUAUGUGAAAAGGUUUCAGCCAGAUAAGCUCGAACCCAAAGCGGAUAAAUACAUCUUCAUAGGACACCCAAAAAUAGUUGGGUAUACCUCCUAUUUCAGAUCCGGAAGCAAAAGUGAUUGUUUCUAGAAACGGGUCCUUUCUCGAGGAAAAGUUUCUCUAGAAAGAAUUGAGUGGGAGGAUGGUGGAGACUUGAUGAGGUUAUUGAACCGUCACUUCAACUAGUGUGUAGCAGGGCACAGGAAGUUGUUCCUGUGGUGCCUACACCAAUUGAAGUGGAAGCUGAUGAUAUUGAUCAUGAAACUUCGGAUCAAGUCACUACCGAAACUCGUAGGUUGACAAGGAUACAUACUACUUCAGAGUGGUACAUAAUCCUGUCUUGGAGGUCAUGUUGCUAGACAACAAUGAACCUAUGAGCUAUGAAGAAGUGAUGGUGGGCCCGGAUUCCAACGAAUGGCUCGAGGCCAUAAAAUUCGAGAGAGGAUCCAUGUAUAAAAACAAAGUAUAGACUUUGGAAGAACUACUUGAUGGUCGUAAGGCUGUUGGGUACAGAUGGAUCUUAAAAGAAAGAUGGACAAUGAUGGUAAGUAUCACCAUUAAGAAAGCUCGACUUGUCGUUAAGAUGUUUUCCGACAAGUUCAAGGAGUUGACUGCGAUGAGACUUUCUCAUUCGUAGCGAUGCUAAGAGUCUGUUGGAAUUAUAUUAGCAAUUACUGCAUGAUUUAUGAAAUCUUGCAGAUAGGAUGUCAAAACAUUGUUUCCUCGACGAUAUUCUUGAGGAAAGGUUGUAUGUGAUACAACCAGAAAGUUUGUCAAUCUUGAAAGAUGCUAACAAGUGUGCAAAGCUCCAGCAAUCCUUGUAGGGACUGGAGUAAGCAUCUCGGAGUUGGAAUAUACGCUUUGAUGAGAUGGUCAAAGAUUUUGGGUUUAUACAAAGUUUAUGAGAAACUUGUAUUUCCAAAGAAGUGAGUGGGAGCACUAUAGCAUUUCUGAUGAGUAUAUGUUGUUGACAUAUUGUUGAUCGGAAAUGAUGUAGAAUUUCUGGAAAGCAUAUAUGGUUAUUCGAAAAGUGUUUUUCAAUGGAAAACCUGGAUUAAGCUACUUGAACAUUGAGCAUCAAUAUCUAUAAGGAUAGAUCAAAACGCUUAAUAGUACUUUCAAAUGAAUACAUACCGUGACAAGAUUUUGAAGGAGUUCAAAAUAGAUCAGCAAAGAAGGAGUUCUUGGCUGUGUUAUAUGGUGUGAGUAUUGAGUAAGACUCAAGAUAUGACCACGGCAGAAGAGAGAGAAAGGACGAAGGUCGUCCCCUAUGCUUCAGACAUAGGCUCUAUAGUAUGCUAUGCUGUGUACCGCACCAGAAGUGUGCCUUGCCAUGAGUCAGUCAAGGGGUACAAGAGUGAUCCAGGAAUGGGUCACAGGACAACGGUCAAACUUAUCCUUAGUAACUAGUGGACUAAGGAAUUUUUCUCGAUUAUGGAGGUGGUAAAAGAGUUCGUCGUAAAGGGUUACGCCGAUGCAAACUUUGACACUAAUCCGGAUUAUUCUAAGUAGUAAACCGGAUUCGUAUAGUAGAACAGUUAUUUGGAAUAGUUCCAAAUAGAGCGUGGUAGCUGCAUCUAGGUGAUGACAUAGAGAUUUGCAAAAUACACACGGAUCUGAAAGGUUCAGAUCCGUUGACUAAUAACCUCUCUCACAAGCGAGAUAUGAUCAAACGCCAUGGGUGUCAAUUCAUUACAAUCACAUAGUGAUGUGAACUAGAUUAUUGACUCUAGUGCAAGUGGGAGACUAUUGGAAAUAUGCCCUAGAGGCAAUAAUAAAAUGGUUAUUAUUGUAUUUCCUUGUUCAUGAUAAUUGUCUAUUAUUCAUGCUAUAAUUGUAUUAACCAGAAACCGCAAUACAUGUGAAUACAUAGACCACAACAUGUCCCUAGUGAGCCUCUAGUUGACUAGCUCGUUGAUCAACAGAUGGUCAUGGUUUCCUGACCAUGGACAUUGUAUGUCAUUGAUAACGGGAUCACAUCAUUAGGAGAAUGGUGUGAUGGACAAGACCCAAUCCUAAGCCUAGCACAAGAUCGUGUAGUUCGUAUGCUAAAGCUUUUCUAAAUGUCAAGUAUCUUUUCCUUAGACCAUGAGAUUGUGCAACUCCCGGAUACCGUAGGAAUGCUUUAGGUGUACCAAACGUCACAACGUAACUGGGUGGCUAUAAAGGUGCACUACGGGUAUCUCCGAAAGUGUCUGUUGGGUUGGCAUGAAUCGAGACUGGGAUUUGUCACUCCGUGUGACGUAGAGGUAUCUCUGGGCCCACUCGGUAGGACAUCAUCAUAAUGUGCACAAUGUGAUUAAGGAGUUGAUCACGGGAUGAUGUGUUAUGGAACGAGUAAAGAGACUUGCCGGUAACGAGAUUGAACAAGGUAUCGACAUACCGACGAUCGAAUCUCGGGCAAGUACUAUACCGGUAAACAAAGGGAAUUGUAUACGGGAUUGAUUGAAUCCUUGACAUCGUGGUUCAUCCGAUGAGAUCAUCAUGGAACAUGUGGGAGCCAACAUGGGUAUCCAGAUCCCGCUGUUGGUUAUUGGCCGGAGAGUUGUCUCGGUCAUGUCUGCAUGGUUCCCGAACCCGUAGGGUCUACACACUUAAGGUUCGAUGAUGCUAGGGUUAUAAGGAAGGUAUGUACGCGGUUACCGAAUGUUGUUCAGAGUCCCGGAUGAGAUCCCAGACGUCACGAGGAGUCCCGGAAUGGUCCGGAGGUGAAGAUUGAUAUAUUGGACGAAGGGUUUUGGAGUCUGGAAGUGUUCCGGAGGUACCGGGUAAUGACCAGCAUGACCGAAAGGUGUUUCGGGAGCCCCGACAAGUGUUGGGGGGGCUUAAUGGGCCAAGGGGAGGGGGCAAACCAGCCCACUAAGGGGCUGUGCGCCCCCUCACCUAUUCCCACAUGACCCGGGGGUUUGGGGUGCCCCAUCUAGGGUUCCCACCUCCUGGCUUGGGGGCCAAGUCACCCAAAGGGGAGAUCCCAUCUGCCCUGGCCGCCGCCCCCCCUAGGGGAAACCCUAGGGCGCCUCCCCCUCUCCCUUCCCCCUGUAUAUAGUGGAGGUUUUGGGGCUGCCCAACACAUGAGUCUCUCUCCCAAGGCGCAGCCCUACCUCUCUCCCUCCUCGUCUCUCGUAGUGCUUGGCGAAGCCUUGCUGGAGUACCACGCUCCUCCACCACCACCACGCCAUCGUGCUGCUGCUGGAUGGAGUCUUCCCCAACCUCUCCCUCUCUCCUUGAUGGAUCAAGGCAUGGGAGACGUCACCGGGCUGCAUGUGUGUUGAACGCGGAGGCGCCAUUGUUCGGCGCUUAGAUCGGAAUCAACCGCGAUCUGAAUUGCCACGAGUACGACCACCUCAUCCGCGUUCUUGCAACGCUUCCGCUUAGCGAUCUUCAAGGGUAUGAAGAUGCACUCCCUCUCUCUCUCGUUGCUAGUCUCUCCAUAGAUUGAUCUUGGUGAUGCGUAGAAAAUUUUGAAUUUCUGCUACGUUCCCCAACGAAACUUGCAACAACAAAGUAGAUGACGUCUAACUUGUUUUUGCAGGGCAUGAUUGUGAUGUGAUAUGGUCAAGACAUGAUGUGAUAUACGUUAUUGUAUGAGAUGAUCAUGUUUUGUAAAUUAUCGGCAACCGGCAAGCCUUAUGGUUGUCUCUUUAUUGUAUGAAAUGCAAACGCCAUGUAAUUGCUUUACUUUAUCGCUAUGCGUUAGCAAUAGUUGUAGAAGCAAUAGUUGGCGAGACGACCACGACACAAUGAUGGAGAUCAAGGUGUCGAGCCGGUGACGAUGGAUAUCAUUAUGAUGCUUUGGAGAUGGAGAUCAAAAGCACAAGAUGAUGAUGGCCAUAUCAUGUCACAUAUUUUGAUUACAUGUGAUGUUUAUCCUUUAUGCAUCUUAUUUUACUUAUAUUGACGGUAGCAUUAUAAGAUGAUCCAUUCACUAAAUUAUGACGUCAAAUGGACCAAGCAUCUUGAGCUUUAAAUAAGUGUAGUGCGGAACCGCGUUGAAUUGAGCGAAAGCGGUCCAUCUAAGCAGUGCAUGAUAGCUGCUGCGGAAGGGGACGAUAUCGAAGAUUAAGUCUUCACUAUGGAAAUUGUCUGGCAAACCGAAGACGACUUACAAUGUUAUUGAACCCAAGCAACGGGCUUCUACGCCAGGUAUUACUCCUUUAAAUGUAGUUUUAGUGGGAUUGAUUCUUGACGGAUCAAUACCCAUUUUGCGGACAGUGUCCUGGUAAAGCAGGUUAAGACUACUGCCACCGUCCAUGAGGACUUGCGUGAGGUGGAAUCCGUCGAUGAUUGGGUUGAGGACCAAAGCUGCCAAACCUCCAUGAAGGAUACUGGUCGGGUGGUCCUUUUGAUCGAAGGUGAUCGGACAAGUCGACCAUGGGUUGUAUUUUGGGGCGACUGGCUCGACGGCGUACACGUCCCUUAGUGCGUGCUUGCUCUUCCGCUUGGGGAUGUGGGUGACGUAGAUCAUAUUGACCAUUUUGACCUCGGGGGGAAAUUUCUUUUGUCCCCCUGUGUUCAGUGGGCGAGGCUCUUCCUCGUCGUCCUUUCUGGACGGCCUUUUCCCCUUGUGUUCGGCAUUGAGCUUGCCAGCCUGUUUAAAGACCCAACAAUUUCUGUUAGUGUGAUUUGCAGGUUUAUCGGGGGUGCCAUGAAUCUGGCAAGGUCGAUCAAGUAUUCUGUCCAAACUGGAUGGACCAUCUUUGUUUCCUUUGAAUGGCUUCUUCCAUUGACCAGGUUUGGAGCCACUGAAUCCGGUGUUGACCACCGUGUCUUCGUUAUUGUUUCGACGCUUGUGCUUGUCGUGUUGUGGCUUUCCAUUGCCGUACCUGGCUUCAGGGGUGCUUGGGUCACUGGUGCUAUUGCUUCUACGAGCUAGCCAGCUAUCUUCUCCCGCACAAAAGCGGGACAUAAGUGCGGUAAGGGAUACCAUGGACUUUGGCUUCUCCUGGCCGAGGUGUCGGGCGAGCCACUCAUCCCGGACGCUGUGUUUGAAGGCCGCGAGGGCUUCGGCGUUCGGACAAUCCACAAUCUGGUUCUUUUUGAUUAAGAACCUGGUCCAGAGCUUCCGGGCUGAUUCAGCGAGUUGCUGGAUUAUGUGACUAAGGUCAUCGGCGUCUGGGGACCGAACAUAGGUACCUUGGAAGUUGUCUCUGAAGGCGUCCUCCAAGUCUUCCCAGCUGCCAAUAGAGUUUUCUGGGAGGCUAUUCAGCCAAUGCCAUGCUGGCCCCUUAAGUUUUUUUGGGGGGGGGGGGUAUUUGAUGGCAUGUAAGUCAUCACCGCAUGCCAUGUGGAUGUGGAGAAGAAAAUCUUCAAUCCAUACUGCGGGAUCUGUUGUGCCAUCGUAUGAUUCAAUGUUCACGGGUUUAAACCCUUCUGGGAACUGGUGCUCCAUUACCUCAUCGGUGAAGCAUAGGGGGUGUGCGGCGCCUCUCUAUUGGGCAGCGUCACGACGUAGUUCGGAUGGAGUCCGUAUAUGUUUUUCGGCCUGAGUGAGGUUGUGCUUGUCGCGCCAGGCCUGAUGGCCAUCUUCUCGCGCUGGGGCACGCCCCCUUGAUCCAUAGAUUGAUAUGGUGUGACUGGCUCUAUUGUCAAGGUCCUAUCAUAGGUCGUAUGUGUAUCCUGCAGCUAUUGUCUCUCUGCCUCUAAGGCGAGGUGGUGCGGCCUGGUGUUCGGCUUGAGUUGCAGCUCUGUCCCGGCCACGAGGUGGUCGGUCAGGUCCGUCCGCUGUGUUACAUGCUGUCGGUAUAGAUCCUAGGACCUCAUCCUCGAAUUGGGAUAGAAACCUGCGCUUUUGGUAACUCUUAGUUGGACGCUCAAGUUCGUAUUCCUCAGCUGCCAGGACAUUAGUCCAUCUGUUGUUGAGUAAAUCCUAAUCAGCUAGUUGCUGCUUCUUUUUCAGGCUUCUUGCAGUGGCUAUUAGCUGGCGCUUAAAGCGCUCUUGUUCGAGGGGUUCCUCUGGCAUGAUGAAAUCUUCGUCACCGAGGCUCUCGUCCUCUUCGGAGAUCGGUAGGUAGUUACUAUCCUCCGAGCCCUCAUUCCCGAUAGGAUCGUCGGGGUUGACUUGCCCUUCUUCCCAAUCACCCAGUUCGGAUGUUGGCUCGACAGGGGCUUCCUGGUCUUUGGCAUUCUCCGGAGUAUUAUUGUCUCCGGUGCCGAUAUUGCUGUCUUUUUCGUGACGUGAUUUUGAGCGGCGUCGCUGACAUCGACGCUUUGGUGGUGCCUCAGAAGGCUUGCCCUUUAUGGGACCCUUCCCACCAUCGCCGUCAUCCUCUUUGGGUGUGUCCACCAUGUACACAUCAUAUGUGGAAGUGGCCGUCCAGCGUCCGGUGAACGACGGGUUCUGGCUUUGCUCCUCUUCGGCAUCGUCGUCCAUGUCAUCGAUGCCUUCGGAGGCGUAGUCGAGCAUGUCGGUCAAGUCUUCGGCAGUGGCUAUGAAGCGGGUGGUGGGUGGGAUGUAAAAUUCCCUGCCCUCAGCCCCUAGUGUGGGCUGGGCGUAGUUUGGCAGCGAUUCCUCUACAAUGGCGAGGGAUCGCAUUAAUUCCAGAGCCUCGUUUAAGAGUGAGGUUUGGACAAGGAAGCGAGAGUCCAUGGAGCAGGGCGGGAUAGAAGUUCCCUAGCCAAGCUCAUAUGACACGGAUCUCGAGAGUUCGGAGCUAGUGUCCGGAGGCGAGUCCGGCUUUCUGAGGGUAGAGGGGGCCUAGCAUGGCUCCAGGCAUGUCGGUGAUGUGAUCUCCUCUGGUUCUUCGGUGCCAAGCUCUGUAGCUGCAGAGAGUCCGGCGGGAUUUAAACGCCCGCCUUCGUACCUAGUGAUGUGCUCCGGAUCUAAGGCCAGAGCUGAGGCUGGGGCCGCGAAGCCUUGGAAGAUCAAGUCUCCUCAGAUAUCAGCGACAUAGUUUAGAUUUCCAAAGCGGAUCUGAUGACCAGGGGCAUAGCUGUCGAUCUACUCCAGAUGGCCAACCGAGUUGGUGCGUAGUGCGAAGCCGCCAAAUACGAAAAUUUGGCCGGGGAGAAAAGUCUCCCUUAAGGCGAUAUUCUUGUAGAUGAUCAAUGGAGCCAUCAAGCCUUCUAGCGAUGACACAGCGGAACUCUCAAUGAAAGCACCAAUUUCGGUGUCAAAACUGGCAGAUCUCGGGUAGGGGGUCCCGAACUAUGCAUCUAAGGAUCAAGGGUAACAGGAGGUAGGGGACAUGAUGUUUACCCAGGUUCAGGCCCUCUUAAUGGCGGUAAUACCCUACUUCCUGCUUGAUUGACUUUGAUGAGUACAGGGGUUACAAGAGUUGAUCUACCUCGAGAUCGUAACGGCUAAACCCUAGAUGUCUAGCCUGUAUGAUUGUGAUUGCCCCUAUGGACUAACCCUUCGAUUUAUAUAGACACCGGAGGGACCUAGGGUUGUAUAGAGUCGGUUUAUAGAGAAAGGAAGAUGCAUGAUCCGAACGCCAAGCUUUCCAUCCAUGCAAAGGAGAGUCCCAUCCGGACACGGGGGAAGGUCUUUGAUCUCAUAUCGUCAUGGCCCAUCAGUCCGGCCCGUAUCACAUAGCCCGGAUGCCCGAGGACCCCCUAGUCUAGGACUCCCUCAACGGACGUUGUGUUUAAAGGCCGCUAAGGCUUUGGCAUCUGGAAAGUCGACUAUUUGGUUCUUUUUGAUUAGGAACCGAGUCCAGAGUUGGCGGGCUGACUCUCCGGGUUGCUGGACUAUGUGACUAAGGUCAUCGGCAUCCGGUGGCCGGACAUAGGUACCUUAGAAGUUGUCUUGAAAAGCAUCCUCCAAAUCUUCCCAGCUGCCAAUAGAGUUAUGUGGGAGGCUAUUUAACUAGUGUUCUGCUGGUCCCUUUAGCUUUAGGAGGAGGUAUUUGAUGGCGUGGAGAUCGUCACCGUGAGCCAUGUGAAUAUGGAGAAGGAAAUCUUCAAUCCAUAUAGUGGGAUCUGUCGUUCCAUCAUAUGCUUCAGUGUUUAUGGGUUUAAACCCUUUGGGAAAUUGGUGCUACAUUAACUUAUUGGUAAAGCACAAGGGGUGUGCGGCGCCUCUGCAUCGGGCGAUGUCACGACGGAGUUCGGAUGACAUCCAUGUUCGGUUUUCGGCCUGAGUUUGGUUAUGCUUAUCGCGCCAAGCUUGAUGGCUGUCGUCUUGUGUUGGAGCAUGUCCCCUUGAUCCGUAGAUUGAUCUAGUCUGACCGGCUCUAUUGUCCAUGUCCUGACGUAAGCCGUAAGUAUAUCCCGAAGCUGCUAUUUCUUUGCCUCGACGGUGAGGUGGCGCGGGCUGGUGUUUGGUGUAGGUAGCCGCUCUGUCCCGUCCACGUGGUGGUCGGUCUGGUUCAUCAGCAGGAUUAUAUCUUAACGGUAUUGGCUCAAGGGUCUCGUCGUCGAAUUGUGGUAGCAUCUGAUGCUUCGGAUAACUCUUUGUUGGGUGCUCGAGGCCGUAUUCUUCGGCAGCCAGGACCUUGGUUCAUCUGUCAUUGAGUGUAUCCUGUUCGGCUUGAAGCUGUUGCUGUUUCUUUCUAAGGCUCCGCGCAGUGGCGAUUAACCGUCGCUUGAAGCGCUCUUGCUCGAGGGGUUCCUCUGGCAUGAUGAAAUCUUCAUUGCCGAGGCUGACAUCCUCUUCGGAGACCAGUAGGUAGUUACUAUCUUCCGAAUCCUCAUUCUUGAUAGGUUCGUCAUGGUUAACUUGUCCCUCCUCCCAUUCAUCCUAUUCGACUACAGGCUCUGCGGGGUCUUCAGGAUCUUCGGCGUGAUCCGGAGUGUUAUUAUCUUCGGUGCCGGCAUUGCUGUCUUUUUCCCGAUGCGAUCGUGGGUGGCGUCGCUGUCAUCGAUGCUUUAGUGGCACCUCGACUGGUUUAUCCUUGAUCGGGUCUUGCCUGUCGUCAUCCUCUUUAGGUGUAUCUACCAUGUGCAUGUUACAUGUGGAGGUGGCCGUCCAAUGCCCAGUGAUAGGCGGAUUUUGUCCUUGGUCGGCUACGGUAUCGUCGUCCAUAUCGUCAAUGUCUUCAGAGGCAUAGUCUAGCAUGUCGGUUAAGUCCUCAACAGUGGCUACCAAGUGGGUGGUGGGUGGUACGCAAAAUUCCCCGCACUCAGUUCCUAGUUCGGGCUGGGCGUAGUUCAGAAGCGAUACUUAGGUGAUAGCGAGGGAUUGCAUCAAGUCCAAAGCUUCACUUAGAAGUGAAAACUAGGCGGGUGGCUGAGGAUCUGUGGAGCUGGGCCUGAUGAACGCAGCUUGGCCACGCCCAAUGGAUGCUGACCUCAAGAGUUCGGGGUUAAGAUUCGGACGUGAGUUUGGAUUUCUGUUGAUAGGGAGAACCCUAUUUGAGUUCAGGUCCGCCGAUAAUAUGGCCGCCUCUGGGUCUCCAGCAAGGAGCUCCGCAGUGGGAGAAGGUCUGGCAGGGAUAAAACUCCCAUCUUCGGACAAGGCGGUCUGCUCUGGAUCUAGGGUCUGGGCAGGAACGAUAGUUGAUCCUUGAAUGGUGCCUGAUGGUGGAUCCGACGGGGUUCCCUCUAGCAGAUGAGGAAUAGCGGUCGAGGCCGUGAACCCUUCGAAGAUCAAGUUUCUUCGGAUAUCGGCGACAUAGUUCAGGCUUCCAAAUGUGAUCUGGCGACCAGGGGCGUAUCUGUCAAUCUAUUCAAGGUGACGAGUUGAAUUGGCAUGCAGAACAAAGCUGCCAAACACAAAAAGUUGACCAGGGAGGAAAGUUUCCCCGGAAAUAGUAUCGUGGUUGAUGAUCGAACAAGCCAUUGAACCUUCUAUCGACGACACAACGGAACUCUCAAUGAAAGCACCAAUGUCUGUGUCAAAACCGGCCGAUCUCGGGUAGGGGGUCCUGAACUAUGCGUCUGAGGAUUGAAGGUAACAAGGGACAAAGGAGACACGAUGUUUACCCAGGUUUGGGCCCUCUUAAUGGAGGUAAAACCCUACGUCCUGCUUGAUUGUCUUUGAUGAGCAUAGGGGUUACAAGAGUUGAUCUACCUCGAGAUCAUAAUGGCUAAAUCCUAGCCGUCUAGCCUAUGUGAAUCAAGAUAUCCUCUACGGACUAAGCCCUCCGAUUUAUAUACACACCGGGGGGGCCUAGGGUUGUGCAGAGUCGGCUUGUAGAGGAAGGAAAUUACAUAUCCAGACACCUAAUCUUGCCAUCCACGCAUAGGAGAGUCCUAUUCGGACACGGGGAAAGGUCUUCUGCCUUGUCCUUUUACGGCCCAUUAGUUCGACCCAUAUCACAUAGCCCGGACACCCGAGGACCCCCUAAUCUAGGACUCCUUCAGCGAUAGAAGCGGGAGAGUCCAAUGAGCUGCAGUAUAAGUGGAAGCGAGGAGGAAGGAUGGUUUUUCUGGGAUCACCCCCUCUUUAAGAAAUAUGGGCUUUUCCUCACAAAAAAACAAAUGGGCUUCAAGAUGGAUAGGCUUUUGUAUGGCCUAGUCGGCUGCCCGUGUUCCAUAUUGGAGGCCCUUAACACUAGAGGCAGCCCAUUAGAGACACUCUCUAGCUUAUUUCCCAUUUGAAAGAAAAAGAAGAGAUGACUCUAUCUUAAUUAUGGCUCCUCAUCGAUAACAUUUUUCAACUUAAAAAAAGUUAUAGCUCCUUUUUGGGCUGGCUUGGCAUCUACCAAAUUAGAGGAUGGUGUACUACAUGCAGACACUCACACUGGUCAUAGUGCGGCAAAAUGAGGUGUCAAAUAACAUGCCCACAAUAUACAUAGAUUGUAAAGGUUGACACGCUAACAUUCAAACUAAGCUUCACAAGAUACGGUAUGCAUACUAGAUAACAUUCACAAGCACUUAAGUUCAGCAUGUUUACGCAUCUAAAUGAUUCAUAAGACUAUAACCAAGACAAAGCUGUGAGAAGGUGUAGAAAUAAAGAAAAAAUGAUCGAUGCUUCUCUGAGCAAAGGGCCUCCCUACGCACGCAUUAAUUUCCUGGGCAUGCUUCUUUCCACUCAAUGUUGCGUGCACUUUGAGCAUGUUGGCAACACCACAGCUAGUUUGAUGGCUCAUCUUGCAAUUUACACUGACACAUUGCAGCAAAAAGAGGAGGCAAUAGAGAUCACUCAACAUCAGGCCAUUUUGUGCAGUUCCACUAAAAUCAUCUUCAUUGUCCUGAAUGUGAAAAGAUAGGAAAGUGAUGUACUUAAACGGUGUCGCAAAACAGUAGCACAUAUCAAUAGCUCGGCAUGACAAAACACAAUCAUCUGGAUGAAGGGGAUACUGACCUGCGUGAGGAAGAUUAUGCAUAACUUUAUAGGUGGUUAGUUGAUUUCCACCUUGGGAUCUCCUAUGAUGGCACGGAGGAGGAAAUUCCAUCCAAUCGAUGAGCAUAAUUCCUUCCGUGUGGCUGUAGAAAAUUUGUCCGACUAACCCCAAUAUCACCGCCGUUUGCACGACCCCGACUCGCCGGCCAGGCCAUCAAUGACUCGGUCCCUUUUAUCUUGCGUUGACAGCAUGGCUGAAGUGCUUGUUUGCUCCUCCACACAUGACAGGCUCGUUCCACACUACAAACAUCAAUUCAGCGUACGAAUAAUCUUAUUUCAUCUUGCGUUAGUCAUUCUACCUAGUUAUGAAUGUAGGAAUACCUAGAACACCGUGAGGCCAGCUGACAGCAAGUUCCACUAAAAUUGAGGUUUGUGCUUCCAUUUGCACAAAUAGACACCAUAUGGAGAUAAACAACCCUGUUUGCACAAAUAUGUAACAGGGUUAUAUAAGUAGUGUCACUUUUUUGCAGUGGCAUAUGAUUAAUAGCAGCAUCUCAUAUGUUAUCAAUGGCAUUACAGUGACAGUAUGAAAAAGUGCCAUUAACUAAGAAGUGCCAUCACAUCAAAUCAACACUGGCACUAGAUUAACGGGGGCUUACAUUAACAUGCAUAACAAUUGCAUUAUGACUAUGUGAUGAUAGAUUAGGAGUAGCACUUGAUUAGUACGUAUGUGCAUGGGUAACGGGAACGAUCGUUCUAACGAAGGGACGGAAAGGACAAACACAUCGUCGUGUCAACCAUUGUGCAAUUAAAUUUUGUGCAGUUCAAUGGAGAUGCAACUAUUUUACCGAUGUCAUACUUUAGUGUAACGGCCCAAAACACUCUUUACGAGAAAUAAAGCAAGACAAAAGAAUUUCAUAAAACGGUGGUGGCAUUGAUUCAUUUUAUCAAUGGCAAUAGAUUGACAGCAGCAUUACUUAACAGCGACAUCACAUUAACAAUGGCAUUGUUUCAUUGUACCUGUGAUGCUAGAUUAACAAUAGCGUAAGGGCAUAGGGACAGGGGAGGCACAAGCAUGUUUUACAUCCACUGAGGCAUAAAGUGGUGAGGCAGAGGUGUUGCCGAGUGUGGCAAACAUGCAAAGGAUGUCUGGAUUUGUGCAUUUUUUGUUCUCGUCAGUGACCUUUCCUAUGUGACCACAAGAAAUCUAGACGUGCUCNNNNNNNNNNNNNNNNNNNNNNNNNNNNNNNNNNNNNNNNNNNNNNNNNNNNNNNNNNNNNNNNNNNNNNNNNNNNNNNNNNNNNNNNNNNNNNNNNNNNNNNNNNNNNNNNNNNNNNNNNNNNNNNNNNNNNNNNNNNNNNNNNNNNNNNNNNNNNNNNNNNNNNNNNNNNNNNNNNNNNNNNNNNNNNNNNNNNNNNNNNNNNNNNNNNNNNNNNNNNNNNNNNNNNNNNNNNNNNNNNNNNNNNNNNNNNNNNNNNNNNNNNNNNNNNNNNNNNNNNNNNNNNNNNNNNNNNNNNNNNNNNNNNNNNNNNNNNNNNNNNNNNNNUGUCCUUUUUAGACCAAGAGACCGGUCAGGCCAACAUCUUUAUUUCCCUUUCCAACCAAGAGAUUGGUUCAUUAGCCAGCAUCUGCAGUACCUUUUUUCCUCUAAUAGUAAAACUUUAGGUGGUGUUCAAGUGUUUGACAAGCCGACGAAGCUAUCUACAUGGAGAGCUUUGUAAUACUAGAAGAAUAUCCACAUGCAAGAUGCAACGACGUGGGGAGCAAUCCUAACUUGAUGAAAAAAGGGAUGCAACAACGUGGGGAGUGUCGGUGUCAAAACCGGCGGAUCUCGGGUAGGGGGUCCCAAGCUGUGCGUCUUAGGAUCGAUGGUAACAUGAACACGGGAUUUUACCCAGCUUCGGGCUCUCUUGAUGAGAUAAUACCCUACAUGCUGCUUGAUUGACUAUAAUGAGUAUAGGGGUUACAAGAGUUGAUCUACCUCGAGAUCAUAUGUUGUGGUCUAAACCUUAGAGGUAUGAUGAGUAAUGUCAUAAUCAUCUAUCGACUAGCCUGGCCUUGGUUUAUAGAAUGUACCAUAGGCCUAGGGGAACAAGAGUCCUAGCCGAAUACGCCGGUGGGGGAGGAGUCCUUGUCUUGAUCACCAAGUCUUGUGGAAUCUUCCUUGUAUGCGGCAACUGUCCGAACUGGCCCAUGAGUAUACAACCAUGGGGGUCCUCGGCCCAAUCUAACUGACCGGGGGACGAUGUGGUGAGUACCCCCUAGUCCAGGACACCGUCAGUAGCCCCCUGAACCGGUCUUCAAGUUGGGGACGCUCCUCGAUUCUGCCGAACUAUUCUUCAUCUUUAGUCGUCGGUCUUGAAAACUGGUUCAACAAAUCUUCUCAUCUCUGAUCUUGAGGAUCGCGAAGUAAAUCCGAAGGGUUUAUAUGUCGGGUAUCCGAGGAGCCCUUUAAGUUUCUGGCCUGUAUCAAUGCCUUGUUAUUAUUAUGCCACACCUCAGGUUUGAAGUUAUUCCCGGGCGGCAGUGUCCUCUUGCGUCCGAGCUCCAAUGCCGGAUUGCGUUUGAGGUAUCUUUUGCAGCCAAGCACCAACGCCAGACUGCUUCCGAGCUCCAACGCCAGAAUGUAUCCAAGCUCUAACGCCGGACUGUGUCCAAGCUCCAACACCGGGCUGUAUCCGAGCUCCAACGUCGGACUAUACCCGAGAUGUCAUAGGUCAUCUGGGUUCAAAAAGUUGAAGGAGUUUAGCCGAGCUUAAUGCCGGAAAUGGCCUCUAUGGAGCCAGCCACUGGCGCUCGAGCUUAAUGCCGGACUACUUCCGAGGUGGUGCACCACCCCUGACUGCGGGCUGAUUUUUUGAUUGGUGCGAUUUAUUCUCUGCGGAGAUAUAUAGCCAGUAGCGCUCAAGGUGUGUGCGUCGGUCUAAAACCCAAGAUGCACCUGAAGGAAAACAUGAAACCGUUGAUCCUAGUUGCCCCUGAGACUCAGGUCGAUGCGCGAAAUUGGCCUGAGGAUCAACUCCUAGCUCAGCAGCAUACAUAGGAAUAGAAACCCGGUGUGCAAAGUCAUCGAGACUCAGGUUGGGUGCGGCCGACCAACCUGAGGAUAAUAAUCUCCUCGAAAACUAUAUUGCACUUUAAAUUUUCUGCGGACAAGCAAUGCAGUAGCCCCCGAGACACUGGUCGGGUGGCGACACCAGAGUAGGGGAUCGAUGUACCCCUUUAAUAUUUGUAAAUAAUAAGCACGAAGCCCAGUAGCCCCCGAGCCUUAAUGUGGGAACGGGUGGCCGAAUUAAGGAUCGAUGUCCAAAGUAAAAUCACAAAUUAUGUGUAAUGAUUCUAUGUAUCCAAGUACUUUACAUCAUCAAUGCUCGGAUCCGCAUUGUACAAAACUUUGUUGACCGGCCAUCGGCUUUAACCUCCUCGGCCAGUAGCCGGGGAGUGUUUGUCCCACUUUAUAAAGCCUUUAUGAGGGCAAAGAUUUGUGGCAAACAAGGCAAUCCGGCCAUACGGUUUUAUAAACAAAGGUACGCAGAGAGACAUGUUAUUAUUGUUUAACAUAAGAAACAUCGUCCAAAGAAAAUAGUCCCGCUAUCGGUUCCUUUCUUUGGGUUGUCAUGCUAAGCAUGAUCAUGAAACCUCAGCUCCAAUCAAUGUGGGAGGAAAAUACUGAGGAUUUAGUUCGGGAAAAGCUUCCAAACUCUGUGGUCUAGAUAAACCCAAAUUUUCACUUCCAUUGUGACCGUUUAUAAUCUGAAAGUGGCCCAUUGUCGGCUUCUACCCCCUUGUAGAUGCUACGCAGGGUGUUUCCGAAAUAACAAAACAACCCUUAGCCAACAUCUCGGUGCCCGAUGGCGGUUGUGUUGGCGAAAACGAGGCAAUAAGAUAUGUAGGCUUUAUGACUUUCACUUAGUCAUAGGAGAUUAAAGUUGGGAGGCCAGGAAGUAGCCCCCCGCUUAGUGUUCGGCGAUAGCCUAGGUCAAGCCGUAAACACUUCGGCCAAUGUUAUGAAUGGCCCGUCAUUUAAUAUAGUCAUCCGAUCGCUGACUGGUUUAUGCUUUAUUAUGACAAUCAGUUUUCGGCUUUCUCCACCGAGGUGCUUAACCAUGCGAGCUGGAAGCACAAUCGUAGUGGUUCUCCUUUUGCACACUUAACCGAACAAAGCGGAAUGUAGGAGGCAAGCACAGGAGCCGGGCAACCCAACUAUCGACCGAAGACACAAUUUGAAACCGAUGCAUAUAUAGCAAUAUCCGAGAAUUUUUGCUGAAUCUCUAAAGGUGUCCGGCGUUGCACUGCGAGACUUAUGCGAAAAACACACAAAUAGUUGAAAAGUGCCAUAGGAUUGGAAAACUAAAAAACGUCAGUAAAAACUCAACGUCCGAACUAGAUUAAUUGUUCGGUGCCAAUCAGAAAAUUGGUCUUAGAGAAAAAAUUGUGCUUCUGUCGUGCUUUAACAUGACACAUCCUAUCUCAAGACUUCAAGCGGGUCAGCCUACGGCUUCAACCUCCUAUCCUGAAGGUGGAUGAGAGGGAAAUCAGGCUAUUGACCACACACUUGCGUCGAAAAAAGGAGUGAUAGAAAAAAACUUUGCAACGACUAGGAAGAAGAACACUUAUUAUAAAACAGCUCAUAUAAAUUUAAGAGCCCCAGAGUGACUUGGGUAAAAGAAUUUUAUGUAUAAUGGUUGUAUGUACCGAAGUACUUAUAUCAUAUAUGUGUUCACCCGAACUUUGAACGCGUCUUAACUGACCGCCGGCUUCUCCCUCUUCGGCCAAGGGCCGAAAAGUGUUAUGUACUCCAUCUGUCGAGAAUAUCGACGGUGUUUCCGAUAACCAGGCAAUCAGGCUAUAAGGCUGUAACAGACAAAGUGCGCUCAGGGAACUUAUGCUAUAUUACUAACGAAGUGUAAGAAGCAUCUUCGAAGAAAAUAGUACCCCCCGAUACCUUUCUUUGGUUGCUCAUUGUUAUUAUGAGACUUGUGCAAUAGAUUUUUUGUACUCAUGAGUUCCGCUGUGUGCCAACCAUGAUUGAAAACAAUAAGAGCGCUAGCUUUCGGCUUCACCCAGUUUGAGGUCAGAGCUCGGAAGAACCGGUCGUGACAAUCGCAGAGAUGCUCCCUUUACUCCCUAGCCAAACAAUCGGGUACGUAGGGUAAGCACAGGAGCCAGGUAACCCAGCUCGCAAAUCACUUAGGUCAAUAUGGUGCAUAUUGUGGCGUAAUACACAAACAAGGAACGAAGCCGUACAAGUACAAUCAUAUGCAAGAGGAAAAGCUCCAGCAAGGGAGCCCCCAAUUAAAUGGGGUAUUUGAAUAUGUGUGUCACAAACAAAGUUAUGACAAGGAGUUUUUUUGCAAACAUUUUUUUGCCAAAAAAGUUAUAAUGCUUGGUCGAGCCGAACAAAAAUUUAAACUGGAAGUUUUUGAGCAUAAGAGCGACUUAGCUGGUUAAUGUGUUCGACAUUGAUGACGCGGUCCGAGCUUGAUGCGGGACAAGGUUCCAGCCUCUCAGGCUGGUCCCCAGGUGGCCGAGCCGAGAGUUCGGCACUCCAAGAAGAUGAGGCCCUCAGUCCAGCCGCGGUAAUGGAGCAGGUCGGCGCGCCAAGGCGACAACACAAUUCGGUUGAAGGAGGCGACAGCACGGCUCAGUCUGAGUCAAUUGGCUGCAUAGAAAAAAUAGUGCAAACCAAAAAGUAAUGACAAAUAAAGAUAAUAAUAUAUAUAUAUAUAUAAAUUCUUCUACUUGUUUAAUACAAGUGAAGUAAAUAAUGAGAGAGAUAUGGUCUGAGCGUCGAGGUCAAUGUCGAUGCAGGGCGUGAUGUGGUAAAGGCGUGGCAAAGCCCGAAUUCACAGGUCGGUCCAAGUUCCAGAUACGGCGUUCGCCGAACUAUGUACGGAAACUGACCGAACCAUCACGCGACCAUCGUUAAUGCGGCCACCAUUUGAUAGGCAUGUGAAUAGAUGAUGGAACAAAGCAGAGUAAUAAUUCCUUGGGAAAAAUAAACCCAAACAAGCAAAAAUUGCUGGGAUUAAUAGCACCUGGUUUAUUUGUUAUAGCGGUCCGAAGAAAGGUUACUCCCAAAAUUGGGACUCAAUCCGCACACCCAUUGCCUAAUGGGUGAUGAAGCGAAGGCAUGACGAUGCUGGCAAAGGCUGGCUCGCCGAGGCAAGCCCGUGGUCCAGCUAAUGUAAUGAAGUUGGUCGGCCGGUGACGCCGGAGUCUCCGAGGUAAGUUGAUGAAGGGAUGACGAAGCCCUCAGUCCAGGCGAGGAGACAGAGCAGGUCAGUGAGGAGAUGUGUCAGCCGAGGUGUUGAAGUAGUUCAGCGUGAUAGACAUCGGCUCGAUGAAGCAAUAGUUCGGCCAUGCCGAUGUAGGUCGUAGCUUGUGACGUGAUCAAUGCUGGCUUGAAGAAAUGACCGUGCGGCAAUGCCGGUGUGCCCGCUCCGUGUAAUCCGUGGGGCGGCGAUGUUGGUGAUGAUUUAUCCUUCGCAAUGCCAAACUAUUGUUCGGCCGGCCGAGAUGACGAUCCGAAGAAGUUGAGCUUGGCUUAACAAAGCGACGACGUGUCUAGCGCAGGUCGGCCGCCGUGGAGUGAUGUUGUCGGGCUUGUUUGACACCGGCGCGAUGGUGAAGAUCGUAUUGUAAAAAUACUUUUAAUAAUAAUGGGAUGUGUUUGAGAAUAAAACACAAUACCCCAUACGAAAACGUCCUUCAAAAAGGAUGUCCGAAAUCUCGUUCGUAAAGAAGAUGAACUUGGGUCGGAUUCGUUCUCGCGCAGAAAACAGAUCCUAAAAGUGGUGCACUAAUCGGAAGGUUCCCGGAGUUUGGACGGUCGGGUCGAGAUGAUUUUUUGGCAGGUGGUAGAUAUGGGAAUUCCACAGCCGAUCAACAGUUGGAUCUUCCAAAGGACGUCCGAGCUAGAUGCUGGACACCCCGCUCCAAACUCGUCCGGAUUCUCGUCCAGAUUCAACAGGGCUCCGGUAUAUCGGAGAUUGCCGGAGAUUCCUCCAUCGGAACUCAACGAAAUUUUUGCAGGGUUGUUGUAGACUUAAUUCUGCAUAAUUCCACCGAUGCAAUCAUCUAGGCGACACUCGAGGAGGCGAUGACGGCGGAUACGAUUUUGCUGUCCAGAAAAACAGCACGGUCGCCCGAGGGCAAUGUUCACGUUGAGCCCCCGAGCUCCAUGAAUGACUCCUCCAUGAUCUUGAUAGAGAUUGGAGUUGAUGUUAAUGAAAGCCCUCAUCCGAACAUGACGAUCGGAGGUAGGGCGCAACCCUCGGUCAAGCCAAGGUGACCAGUCGACCUGGUGAUGAAGAAACCGACGUCGCAGUUGACCUGCAGUCGAGCCAUUGAUCCUUUCACUGAUCACACGGCGGAACUCUCAAUGAAAGCACCAAUGUCGGUGUCAAAACCGGCGGAUCUCGGGUAGGGGGUCCCAAGAUGUGCAUCUUAGGAUCGAUGGUAACAUGAACACGGGAUUUUACCCAGCUUCGGGCUCUCUUGAUGAGAUAAUAACCUACAUGCUACUUGAUUGACUAUAAUGAGUAUAGGGGUUACAAGAGUUGAUCUACCCCGAGAUCAUAUGUUGUGGUCUAAACCCUAGAGGUAUGAUGAGUAAUGUCAUAAUCAUCUAUCGACUAGCCUGGCCUUGGUUUAUAUAAUGUACCAUAGGCCUAGGGUAACAAGAGUCCUAGCCGAAUACGCCGGUGGGGGAGGAGUCCUUGUCUUGAUCACCAAGUCUUGUGGAAUCUUCCUUCUAUGCGGCAACUGUCCGAACUGGCCCAUGAGUAUACGACCAUGGGGGUCCUUGGCCCAAUCUAACUGAUCGGGGGACGACGUGGUGAGUACCCCCUAGUCUAGGACACCGUCAGGGAGCUGGGCCAUUAGAACAAGGCCAGUUCUAAAAAAGGUUAUACCUCCGGUCAACGGGAUGUGGCGAGGCAGGCGACGGGAUCUGCCAACUCGACAGUGGGGAGCAAGGGUGAGGAGGACCUCUCCCACACCGACGCCAGGUCAGAGAAGACGGCGCGCGUCGGCUUCCUCCCCCUUCACCGGCGACCACCAGCAGAAGGUAUCCGGCCGGAUCUGUGUCAACCAGAGAGAAGAGAGAGAGAGACAAAGAGAGUGGACACCACGGUCUUGUUUAGAUCUAGAGAGGGUGAGAGAGUGACAAGAAGAGAACAACCCUAGCAAGCAAGUUUCGAAGUGGACUAGUGGAGUAGCAAUUGUUUUUCCCUCCAUAGCGAUCAUUUUAAAUUGAAUACGCGCGCAACCAUAUAUUUUUCAUUUAACGUACCAGUAAAAAGAUACUCGAUCAAUAACCGUGCUACCGCGUUCAGGUCGCACUUGGUAUGGCUGACAUUUGGUCCCAGACCCCACAUUAAGUGGACGACUAGAUGUCUCAAAUUGUCACAUUACCUGCCUUUUCGUGUGCAAAGGCGCUCCAUCGUGAGUGUACCCGGGCGUGUGCGUGAGGGGAGAGUGAAGUCCGAUUUAUAAACCUUGAGGUUGUAGAGCUAGUUGGAAACAAACCCUCACCUUCAAAUCCUUGAAGUUUGUACCAUGUCCUUUGUAAUCCCGGUCAUUUUUAACCUUAAGGGCAUGUGCGGUUCAAGGGGUUUUAAUGGGGAUUAACAGGGAUUGUGGGGGAUUAAGUCAUGUACAAGACAAAUUCCCCUCCAUUCCUCUCCAAACCCCUUGGGAGGAGGUUGAACCGAACAAGGCCUAAGACUAACCACAGUGGGAGUAACUUAAUUCCAUACAGUAUCAUAAUAUGAUACUCAACCCUCUCUUUCUUCAUUUAAUUCUAUGCCACCUCAUCAAAUUUGCCUAGUUGGCAUGCAUGAUACUACUUAUGAUACUCCCAUUACAACCAUCCUGGUAGAAUUAAUAUACCUAAUCUAAAUGGUCUCCGCCCGAUCUCUUUGUCCUUCUCCAGCAUCUAGCUGAAGAAGAAUCAUGCAAGACGCCGACUGUUUUUGCCGGCGUCGCCUCGGCGGUGGCCUUCAUGGGAUACAAUCGGCGGCGGACUCCAGUGUUCUACUUCUCCUCGAUGAUGGCGGCGGGCGGGGACAUGCUGACCGUCACCUCGUCAACAUCCGUGGUGGCUUCUUUCUAUGCCUGCAUGGCGCGGAUACACGAGCAUCGACGGCAGAUGGCGCAGUCAUAGGCACUGGAGGCGUUGUACGACGCGGCGACGUUGAGGGCAACGAUGAUGCCCGUGCCGCUUAGUUCGGCAACUGCCUCCGACGGGCUAGGCGAGGUAGGUGGAGCAGCGAUCUGCCUAGCUUGUAACUGCCAGGCUAGGCGGGCCACCCAGACAAGUUUAUGCCGGAGAACUGCUCUUCCCGCUCGUCGGAUGCCGCCGAAAGAGUGGAGAAAAUGGUGGAAGAAGGAGCUUGGCUAGCAUCCUGCUCCUGAAUGGAUGUGUGUGGCUGGAGUGGGUUUCUCGCAUUCCAUGCGGGUUUAAAUGUAGGUUUUUGAAUGCGGUGAGGAGCCGGGAACAGCUGGGAGUGCAGUGGGCGGCGCCCUCGACCGGCGUGCCGCUUCAAAUGGCGGAUGCAGUGAGGGGUCAUGUCCGCCCUGACCCCCUUGACCGUGGACCUUGACCGUGUAUGUCCGACCUUGAGGACAACAUUAUCCUUGGACCUUGACGGUGUACACCUUGUAUCCAGAUCUGAGAUGCCACGUGUACCAGAUGAAUGACUCCAAGUUCGACGACCGUGAUGCUUAGAGCAAGUACAAUAGAGCUGAGUCAGUUGGCUAUAAGAAAUAAACUAGUCUAUUCUUUCUUAGUUGGAGGAAAGAGAAGAGGAGAGAUAAGGUAGGCGGGCUCUUGGUGAAGAGCCAGCUCUAGCACGUGCUCCUAGGCACUUUGUGAGAGUGAAAGGUGGGCCAUAUAAUAAAAAAAGCAGUACACUCUUCUAAUCAACUAUUGUACAUAUUGGCUAUAAGAUGGGCUAUAGAUGACAUGGCAAUGGCUUAUAGCCAGCAGUUGGCUAUACUAUUAACCAUGCUCUUAGGUGCGAGCCGAGGAACACUGUUGGAGAGACCCCCUUCAUAAUUUUCCUACAUUGGUCGUUUGAUUCAUAGGAUAGAAUGCUAUAGGAUUUUUUCCCUAUGAAAUCAUGUGUUAAUUGGCAAUCUAGCAUCCACUCCAAAUUUUUUUCACUUCCUUUGUUUUUCCUGUGUCAAACACUCUGGAUUUUUUAGGGGAACACUGCGUUAAUGCUAUGGGAUUCAAGUGGACAUGCCACUCCAAUCCUUUAUUUUUCCUAUUCAUGUGUUUUAAGUUCCUAGGAAGAGAGUACUUGCUCUAAAUGAUGUGUCGCUGCAAGAGCCGCCUAUAUUAAUUAACCAUGCUCUAAAAAGGUGGACCGGAUUUGGCUAUAGUAGAUACUGUACUAGGUUAGUACCUGAGCUUGUGCUUGGCUCUUCGCCUCUUCCCGAAGUCAAACAAUAAUGAUGGUACUACAGUAGUACUUCUGGCAAUCUGACACCAAAUAAACUACUGCACGUCCACCAGUUUUAAGCAAAAGUUUCUCCUCGUGCUACGAGCCACUGCACACACGUGGGCGACAGAGAAUGUGUAGUAAGCAAGCUUCUUGUUGUUCUGCGAGUUGACGGGACACAUCAAAGUUAUUUAGUACUCUCUCCAUAAAGGGUCGACCAUGUCCAUGGCUACCAUCCGUGCUCCAUCAUUGAGUACGUGCACUAUUCACGUGCCAUCGAGGAGCAAAAAUAUUGCGUAGUACAUGCCAUCGAAGUGCACGACUCACUUACGCACUACUUAUCUCUAUUUUCUUGCAUGACACACGCACCUUGAUGCUAGAUGUCCCGUGUGUUGGAAAAGGAUGAGCAAAGCUCACGUCAAGAAGGAACAUGAAUAAGUCUUGCUUGCUGUAGAUAUGUACAUGGCAGGACAUGGUGUCCAAUCACCAUUUAGUUACUAAUUUUGUGUUACUAAAGAAAACACGUGGUUCAUUUCUAAAUUAAACUAGUCAAAACCAGCAUGGAGGUAAUCAUUCACCUUAUUGUACUUGCUCUGAGCGAGGGAGAGGUCAUACUAGUAAGCAAAGCUUCUCCUCAUUUGUGAGUUGACGGGACACAUCAAAAGUAGUGUAUUAGUCUCCAAAAAGGGCUGACCAUGUCCAUGGAUACCAUCUCGUGCUCCGUCAUUUAGUGCGUGCACGAUUUCACGUUCCAUUGAGAAAAUAAUGUUGCGUACGUGCCAUCGAAUAGAAUAACUUAAUUUAUAAAAAAUGCACCACCGCAUCAUGAUCGAACUUUGAUUCGUCCACGCGUGGUUCCCAUGAACAACUACUACACUCGCCAAAUUAUUAGGUGAGCUACCUCUUCGUACAGAAAUGAGCUCACCAUGUACCCGCGCGUGAGUAUUAGGGAAAGAGGCAAAGAGUACCUGCGUCGGUGCCUGCACCUCUUCUCUUCGUGCUCAUAUUCCUUUUUUCGGGUGAUUCGUGCAUGUACUCCACCUACGUUCAUUAUAGUUGGUGAGUCCCUCCUACUAUACUUAACUCCAUUUUCUUUCAUGACACGUGGACCUGGAUGCUGGAUGUCCCAUGUGUCGGCAAAACUUAGAAGAACGCUUUCUGAUGACCGAGAAGGAGCAAGAAACCUCGUGGUGGAGCGUCUGGACUCUUUAAUAUUUUUAUUCGGUGAUAUAAAAUCUACCCAAUCUUCUCCACAAUAGACCAGAAGAGUCUGAAACACGACAUCCAGUGUAGUUACAUCAUACAUGUCAACCCACGCUAUCACCAUAUUUCUUGGCCUCCAUGCAACACCUAGCUCUAGUAAUCCACCAGCCCGUAUUGCUUCUCGCUCCUCGUCUCUCUCAAAGUGCUAUGGGCUGGCGAUUUUGCCGUCUCUUGAGGUCGGUUAACUCAUCACAUGUUAGCGACAUGCCAAGAGCAUUCUAAAAAAAUAUUGUACUCUAUUGUUAUGCCAAGAAGAGGAAACGCUUUGGCUGACGGACCAAACGAGACAUGCGUGCCGUGCCGUGAGUGGGUCCAGUUUCUCGUUUUGAACUUGUUUGGUAUAGUAGUAACACUUGGUUUUGACUAUUGAUAAGAUUUUAUAUAGGGCCUAAUGUAUUCUUCGAGGUUGCCUUUGACUAUUGAUAAGAUUUUAUAUAAUUUGAAAAUUAUAUCAUUCGAAGAUCCUUUCAUGUUCCGUUUCCAAAAAAAAGUUCCUUUUACGUACGAAUUUAAUGGUAUGCUUUGAGCAACUUGCAUGUCCUAUACUGCUCACGUUUGGAUACUCUAACUUAGCUAGAUGUUAUACUAACUCAUGACUAACCCUAAACUAACUCUAGCCAAAGAGGUGUUUGGAUGACAGGGUUAGAUUGACAAUAAAUGCACUUGAUGGAGAGAGAAAAGUGAUUUUUCAGUGGGCCCCACGAGAACCAGCUCCAAUUAGCACCACUUGGCUGGCGGGAUAUAGAGAGAGAAAAGUGAUUUUUCAGUGGGCCCAAUGAGAACUAUCUCCAAUUAGAACCUCUUGGGUGGGACAGUUUUUUGGUGGGUUUGGUGCAACUUGCUCCAAUUUAACCCUCAUGUUUGGAUACUUUAGGGCUAUUUGAGCCCCAACUAGCUCAACCUAACUCUAACCCAUGGAUCCAAACAGGGCCAAAGUUAGCCUCGGAAAACGCAUUAAGCCCUAUAUACAUGGACAAACAGAGUACAUGAUACUAGCAAAUGCUCACCAUUAGUAGUAGUUCAUUGGUUGGUUUUGAUUUUUGAUUUAGUUGCUGUGCUGCUACCAUCCAAUAUUCGCAUGUGGUUGUUUCUAGAAAAAAAGGAGGUAGUACUUACUGUGGGAAAGGUGAAGUACCAGUGGAUUCAAUGAAGAGAGAAAUGAUGGUUGCUUCGUCCGAGCAACUUACUGUGGCGAAGGUGGGGCUAUGUGAUUUGACUGCUCACUAGUCAUUAUUACUAUGGCACAACAACCGGGGUGAAUCUUCCCUGAAGUUGUGCACUCAAUAUUGCUGCAUGGUAGGUGGAGCCAGAUGAAGAAUGUCCCACAUGUCGGCAAAACGAAGUUGAAUUGUUUCUGGCAUUGCUAUCAAUCCUUCAAGAUUUCUUUAUAUGUACGCAUAAUUUUCCAGCAUAAUGAAAUUGUAUUGUGAUGCUAUGAAGGUUUCAAAUUUGGUUCCCGCAGGAAAAAAAGGUUUCAACUUAGGAUUCAUGUGUCCUCUUGCCUCAAGAUUGUCUCGUUACAACAUUCCAUCAAAUACAAAUGAAACAACCAUGGCUGCUAAUGCAUCUCAAUGGUUCGCAGAUCAGCGCCCAUAUUCACAUCACAACUGAAUACAAAGUUGUGAGAAGGUGUACAAAUAAAGAAAAAUAUAUAAUUGAUCGAUGCUGUUUGUAGGCAUGGCUCCAUUUCCUGGGCACAGUGUUCAUUGGUUGGCUGCUAGUUUCACCCAGCUCUAUAGCCAAAAAAGAGGUGUAUGGAGGACAUCACAAUCCGAUCAUUUUGUGCAGCUCCACUAAAAUCGAGCUGAUCAUCCAUGUUUACAAAGAUAUUCAGUCAGUGUGAUUACAAUAAUAGUGGAACUAGAUGAUGAAACAUAACACACACAAAUAGAAGCUGAUCACCUCUGCGACCUCUCUUUAGGACUAACUACUUGUUGGAGAAGAUUAGGCACGGAGUUGGAUGAGGAGGAUAGCAAAACCAAUCUCCCUUUCUGCAGUCCAAUAGAAAUGUAAAAAUGUUGCCCAUGUGACAUUUUGGCGGAACUGGACAAAACACUCUUAAGAAAAAAGUGAUUUGUGCAGUUCACCAAAAGGUCGCAAUAGCAAUGAGGUGAAAUGGAUAGCCCUGUUUGCAGAAGGAGGUAGAAAGGAAACAAUUACUAGCCAAUAACACGAGUUGAAGACACGCCGACAAAAAAGAAGCAUAUUCCAUGUAAUAAGGGAAAGAUAAAAGCAUGGUCAUUUAUCAAAAACGAUAUGAGUACAAGAUUACAAGAUGGAAAGUAUGCCGGCCAAGAUACGUUUUAAGCAAACAACUAAAGAAGAUCCACAUGCAGCAAUGUGGGAAGAUGGGCAGUGGAGCAAGGCCGGAGGAAGCUGUACCUGAGGGUCGUCGGGAUGUAACUAGGAGGGCGCCGGCGGCCGAGAUCUGCCCAUACUGCGGCAGCGAGCAAGUGGCGAAGGCCCUACAGCGCCGGAGCUUGGUCAGAGAGAACGGCGGGUACCGCAGAUCGGGACAUGCUGCCUCAACACCGUCGAACAGAGAAAUGAUGCUCAUCCUCCCUUUUCACCGGCAGACGGGAUGCAACCGGAUCAGUGACCAACAGUAAGAGAGAGAGAGGCCACCGCCGCCUUGUGUGAGAUAGUGUGACGAGAGACAAACCCCGGCAGGCAGGCUCCGUUGUAUAUAGUGGAGCAGAUUUUAUUUUUCCCGAUGACAAUCAUUUUAUAUUUUGUAUGUGCCAUUGAGGAAUAUAACUUUAUUUAAUACUAAUGCGUCAAGUCAAACUUUGUUCCGUCUACGUGUGAUACACGACCCUCCUUCGAGUAAACAACCGCUACACACGUCAAAUUAUCAUGUGAGUUGCCUUUUCAUACAGAAAUGAUCUCCACCGUGUACCCGCGCGGGUGUGGCCGGGAACGAGACAUGAGUACGUGCGUCGUGCGUGCACCUCUUCUUUAGUUGCAGGUACAUACGUGGGUGGGUGUGAGAGAGAUGGUUUGUGCUAAAUAGAGGCAAUGUGUCGAUGAUAUCUCGAACAAAAAAAUGUAACAUAUGUAAGGUGUGUGAAACAGAGUCAUGGAUAUAUCAUAUAUAGAGGGAGCGAUGCACGAGAAGAGAGUGGAGGGAUCAUUGGCGUGAGAUAUCGAUAGAAUCAAAAACAGUGAUGAAGUGUUGGGUGCGCAAUCGAUAAAGAGUGCCAUCGAAUUUGUGUUUGUCCACGUCAAUGAUACAGGGCGGCCGGCCUACUGGAAUAUGAGAGGGCAGAGGUGCAGUUUUUCUCUAUGGCAUGGAUACCUACCUACAACGUUCGACNNNNNNNNNNNNNNNNNNNNNNNNNNNNNNNNNNNNNNNNNNNNNNNNNNNNNNNNNNNNNNNNNNNNNNNNNNNNNNNNNNNNNNNNNNNNNNNNNNNNNNNNNNNNNNNNNNNNNNNNNNNNNNNNNNNNNNNNNNNNNNNNNNNNNNNNNNNNNNNNNNNNNNNNNNNNNNNNNNNNNNNNNNNNNNNNNNNNNNNNNNNNNNNNNNNNNNNNNNNNNNNNNNNNNNNNNNNNNNNNNNNNNNNNNNNNNNNNNNNNNNNNNNNNNNNNNNNNNNNNNNNNNNNNNNNNNNNNNNNNNNNNNNNNNNNNNNNNNNNNNNNNNNNNNNNNNNNNNNNNNNNNNNNNNNCUAGCUAUGUAUUGAGGGAGAUCGAUCGACAUCCAUGCAUAUGUGUAGCAGAGGAAUAAGGUUGUGAGAAAGAUAAAGGUAGAGUGUCGGAGGGUUGGUGGUGGAGUUGCUUCUCACAAAUGGUUGGAGAGGCCUGCUAAACAAAUGGAGGGUACAAGUGCAAAUCAAUAAGAGAGGGGAUGUCUGCCUGUCUAUGCACGUGCGUGUGAGAGACGGGCCGGGAGGUAUGCAGGGAUGAUGAGGGGUGAUGAUAUGGUUGUGGUAAGCAGACGUAACUACAUAGGAAGAUCAAUCGUCGUGUGUCCGAGAAAGGGGGAGACAUAACUAGUGAGGUAAGUUGAUCGAUGCGUGGGGAAAAAGAAUUAUAGUUGACCUAUCUAUAUGUAGGGAGAUCGGUACGUAUACAUGCAUGCAUGUGUUAGAAGCAAAUAAGGUUCGGAGAGACGGACAGGGGGAGAGGGGUGCGACUAGGAGGUGGUGCGAGAGGCCUACUAUGUCAAGGGGGGAGGAGUGUGAGAGUAUGAGAUCGAUGAAAAAAGGGGUGGGAGUGUGCACCUGCGUGGAACCGUAUUGGACAUAGGGGGGCAUGGACGGUGAGAAGAGAAGAGGGGAAGUGUGUUUUUGUGGUAGGCACACUUGGCUAGAGAGGUAUAUCAACCGGUGUGUACCGGAAAGAAGGAGCCGGGGGGCCUACACACACCAUGGGUGAACGACCUAAAGAGAAACGAAUGUGCGUGAUGGAGGGGACGCUGAGGGAGGGUGAGAGGGGGGCAGGCGUGUGCAUGCAUGAUAGGAAGUUAGCGCUAGCUAGCUAGAAAGAGAAGAGGAUUGUGAAGGUGUAAAAGACAAACAGAGAUCAUAAUUCAUUAUAAAAAAGUGGAUUAGGAUAUUUGAAGAAGAUAUCAUAGUGUUUUAAACCGACACAUGCAUGAAUGAAUAUAUAUGAUGGUGAUACACAUGGUGCGGUUAUGAACAUGUUAUACUACAUAUAAUAGAUAGAACAUUGAUUAUAAUUUGGGAUAACGUGUGGCUUUUGCAGCUCAGGGCUAAAUACUUGUCAUAAUGCAGGGGGCGGGGCACUAUACUUUGUGUGAUAAACACGGUGUACGUAUGGAACAUGGUCUAGAUUAUGAAUAUAUAGUUAGUACAACAAAUGUACUAUUAUUUGGAAUCAACAUCAAGUGUAUUCAAAAAUUGAAUUCGAGUUCAUAUAGUACACAUAGUUCAUAUCUAUCUCUAUAGUAAUCAUGUGGUGUGGUGUUAAGGUAAUACACGAAUGAUGGUUUAAGUUGGCAACAAUCAUGAUUGUAGAUUCUUAUUCAAGUAGGGAAACGAAUUCAAAUUUAGUUUGAAUUGCAGCAGUAGUAUAGACAUUUGGAAUGCACUAAAAUGUUGGUAUGAGUAGGUUACAUACAUUAUACAGCCAGCGAAAAAAAUUAAUUGGACAUAACAUGGAUUCAUAGCUUUGAAUAAAAUUUGUACGGUAAAACGGGACAAGACUCUCUCUUUGUGUGGUGUGAAUAGUUUUAUUUUUUCGUUUUUUCAUUGAGGGAAGUGCGAAUUGAUCUGGUACGUACAAGUACAAUAUUACAUGUUAGGCUUGUCCCUAAAAUUCAACCCGUGCCUUGUUAUAUCCCGAAAAUUUAGAUAUCGUGCUCCCAACAAUCGCGCCUUCACAACCCGCGCCUUGCUAUCCCAAAAUUACAACGCGCGUGAAAACUCCCUCCAGCUGCCAAAUCGCGACACGCGAAAUCUCCCUUCUAACCCUGAGCCGAAAGGGCCGCUAGUUCAAAUCGGUGGGGGUACUUUUGUAACACACCCUACAUUUUGGACAAGCGCGUCCCUAAGUCAUGGUUCCCCCCUCCCAUCGCCUCCUUUUCACCAUUCGAAAUCCCAUGCCGCCAUAACCUCUCUGCUCCAGCCGCGAAACCCCACCCUCCUCCGUCCGCCACCUCACCGCUGCCCAGCCGGAGCCUCUUCCCCGAUGAUGUUGUCCACCGCAACAACUCGAUGUCCCUCAUCCACCUCCCUGGAUGAGGAUCCAUCGUCGAUCUCGUUGUCCCACCGGUUCAGCCGCCCUGUCCUCCACCUCCAAGGAGCUGCUCAGACGAUCGCCUCGUCUAUUGCGGCUGCUCCAUCCCCACAACGCUGCCUUAACCUGCUCCAUUGGAACCGCAACAUCCUCACCGACCUCUUGGACGAAGCCAAGGCCUACUCGGCGCCACCAAAGAGGUUGUACACUCAUCGCGUCACACCUUCUCCUUAACUCGACCUCCUGGCGCCGACGGCGCUCCAUCCCGCACCCCCAUGGCGCGGCUACCUCGAAGCCGGCGCCACGGGCGACAUCUCCAUGGCGGCUUUCCCCCAGUGUGAGGCCCCUUCGGUAGUGGCGUCCAUACCAGCCGGAUCUGCUGCUGCUGCUCCGGCUCUCACUCGCUUGCGCUGCUGCUGCUGCUGCUGCUGCUCUGGCUAUCACUCGCUCGCUCGCGCUGUUGCUCUGCUCUCCCCCUCACUCGUGCGGCUGCUCUGCUCUUGCUCUCACUCGUGCUACUGAUGCUGGUACACGGGAUGCUGUAGCUACAUGAGUUGCUGCUCUAGCACUAGUUGUUGCUCCUCCAUGCACUGCUGCUCCGCCUGCUAUCUGCUACUGUGUUCCCCGUUGAUCGCCUGCUGAUUUAGAUCACUUUUUCUCUACUACUAGUGCUCGAGCGGCCUAAACUACAUGUGAAGUGCCUCUGUGCUACCAGUGCGUUCAGUUUUGAUAGUAACAUUCAGAUUCCACAAUAAAUUUCAGUUUUGACAGUUAAUUCUAGAGUCAACAGUUGUAGUCAGGUGUUUUUUGGUGAUGUAAAUUUUACAUCUAUCACUUUUUGGUAAUGUAUUUUACAUCAUCUAUUGGAGAUUCUAUUAGAAUCCCACUUGAGAUUAACGAUGUCUGUCUUGUAGUGCUUCAGCCUCGACGUCUUACGGCUCGCCAGAGCUUCUCCAACGACAGAACCAUCCAUCACAACAGAGCAGUACCCUGGAUGCCGUCUAUAGAUUCCUCAGAUCUUCCUCUACACCUCCGACAGCCACCUCUGCCUCAACUUCUUCGGUGACCAACCCAAUGAUGCCGAGGUCGACACGGCUAUGUCAAAGAGGUCGUGCACUUGUCGCAUCACUUAUUACUCUACAUUCAUGUUGAUCCAUUAGGGCUAUUUUGGUUUAAAGGAAAAACUGAAGAAAAAACAUAGCAAUAGGAAAUUUUCCUAUGGCACUCUACUAUUUAAUUAUUCAUGCAUUUUGUUGAAAGGAAUGGAGCAAAACAUCCACCUGGGCCUACUUUUCAAAAUCCUAUGCAUGAAAACAAGACCAAGUUCAUUGGUGGCAGAAUAACAUUCGAACUGUACACGCUUUCAUAUGGUUUAACUUUAAUUUGGCCAUGUUUCUUUGCAUUCCCCUGCUCUUCCAAUUCUUGUGAACCAAAUACCCAAAGUUGACCGAAAUCAUGUGUUUACAAAUGCUCUAUUUCCCACGUGCAUUACUAUCCUAUUCUGGUGUUUUUCCUAUCCCUAUGUUUUUAGAAUCCUGCAAGCCAAAGGAGCCUUACAAAAUUACUUCAGUUACAGGUAGGUGUCGAAUAAAACUUUGUGUGAUUUGUCUGCUCCUGCCGCGACAUCGUCCACCUCACUUGAGCUGUUUCAUCGGCAGAAGCAUCCACCAAACUAGACAUCACGACUCCUGACCGUCUUUCGCCGCCUCAGAUCUUCUUCAUUGCCGCUGGUGAGCACUACAAAAAAAGACACAUCCGUGACAUUUUGGGCCGAACGAAUUUUUUUUUGUCAUACAUAUGACACUUCUAUGGUGAUAAUUGUGACAAAACCAGGUAUCAUCAUAGAUGUGGUGGGCUCCUACUUCUAUGACAAAAAAUCAUGACAGAAAAUGGGCUUUUCGUCCUGGGCGGGCCGGAGACGCAGCUGCAUGACAUUCUUUGGGCCGUCCAUGACGGAAAAAACCGUGGUAGAAGCGAGGGCGAGGAAAAUUUCGGGGAGUUCCCGGUUACGGUGGGUGGUCGGGGGCCGAGCGAUGCACGUUUCUCCCAUACACGUACGCGCUUGUGUGCGAGGUGUUGGCUCUAACUGAACCCGAGCGAGGCGUUGGGCUCUAACUGAACCCUAGCGAUUGCACUGCAGGCUACGCGUUACUGAACCCGAGCGAUCGAUUGAUGGCUGUUAACUGAACCCGAUCGAGCGAUUCCCGUGCUACUGCUGCUAACUGAAGCCGAUCGAUGCUGCCUCUCUAGAUGAACAGUGAGUGUNNNNNNNNNNNNNNNNNNNNNNNNNNNNNNNNNNNNNNNNNNNNNNNNNNNNNNNNNNNNNNNNNNNNNNNNNNNNNNNNNNNNNNNNNNNNNNNNNNNNNNNNNNNNNNNNNNNNNNNNNNNNNNNNNNNNNNNNNNNNNNNNNNNNNNNNNNNNNNNNNNNNNNNNNNNNNNNNNNNNNNNNNNNNNNNNNNNNNNNNNNNNNNNNNNNNNNNNNNNNNNNNNNNNNNNNNNNNNNNNNNNNNNNNNNNNNNNNNNNNNNNNNNNNNNNNNNNNNNNNNNNNNNNNNNNNNNNNNNNNNNNNNNNNNNNNNNNNNNNNNNNNNNNNNNNNNNNNNNNNNNNNNNNNNNNNNNNNNNNNNNNNNNNNNNNNNNNNNNNNNNNNNNNNNNNNNNNNNNNNNNNNNNNNNNNNNNNNNNNNNNNNNNNNNNNNNNNGAUGAACAGGACCCCGUGGAGGGAUGGAUGAACAGGACGACCCUGUGGAGGGCUGGAUGAACAGUAGAUGGUGGAGGGGUGGAUGAACAGUAGCCCGUGGAGGGGUGGUUGAACAGGAGCCCGUGGAGAGGGGUGGUUGAACAAUAGCCGGUGGAGUAGCGCGCGGUGGAGGCUGGAUGAACAGGAGCCCGUGGAUGAAUAGUCGCAGGUGGAGGCUAGAGGAGGUCGACGGUGGAUGAACAGUAGGCCGUGGAGGCUGGAGGAGGUCGACGGUGGAGAUGAACAGUAUCCCGUGGAGUCCCGUUUUGCGGUACCCCACACCCCUCGCGAUGAACAGGACCCCCGUUUUGACCGUAGCGCUCCAACACAAGUCCGUUUCGUCCGUUUUGCGGUACGCCACACCCCUCAUGAUCAACAAGACCCCCGUUUUGACCAUAGGAGGUCUGUUUCGUCCGUUUUGCGGUACGCCACACCCCUCCCGAUCAACAGGACCCCUUUUUGGACCGUAGAGGUCCGUUUCCUCCGUUUUGCGAUACGCCAGACCCCUCCCGAUGAACAGGAUCCCAUUUCGAACGUGGCUGGUCGAACACAAGGCCGUUUCCUCCAUUCUGCGAUACGCCAGGCCUCGUUUCUAUCUCCUGUUCCGUCCAAGCCCUCCCAAUGAACAUGACCACGCAUUCCGUUCCGACCCAGCCGGUUGGCUCCCCAUGAACACGACGACGAUGCUGUUUCUCCGUUCCGACCCAGCCAUGUACACGAGCCCUAGCCGUACGUAUGCGCGAGUAGGCAUUCGAGACCCCGCCCGUAUGUACACAUACGUGGCCAUAUUUUCUUUCUUGCGCACUGGCCGCUGUACGUACAUGUACAUGCUACGUGCGCGCCUCUACUACGACACGUGCGCGCCUCUACAUCGACUAGUAUAUAUGUAUGUACAUGUUCGCGACUAGAAUGACAAUGCUACGUACGCUUUGACCAACUGGGUCCCGACUGUCAGGCACUUCCUUGCAUGCAAAGAUGUAGCUGGUGGGUCCCAGCAAUCAGGGGGGCAAAUCGUUUUUUUUGCCCAGACGCACUUCCUUGCUUGCGAAGGUGUAGCUGGUGGGUCCCAGCAGUCAAGGGGCGAAUUGUUUUGUUUUUUUGCCCGAACGCACUUCCUUGCGUGCGAAGGUGUAGCUGGUGGGUCCCAGCAGUCAGGGGGGAAACGUUUUUUCGCGAAAUACGAUGGCCCAUCCAGUGGGUCCCCACUGUCAGGUGGAGGAAUAAUUAUUUUGCACGUAAUAAGGAGGCACUUCCUUGCUGCGGCCAUGGAUCCAGCUGUCAGCCUCUCCAUUUACAGUCCAUGUCCAAUGGAAGCCGUUCCUUGACCAUGUUGACCACGUCGCGCCGAGAGCACCAGGGCGAUGGACAACGGCGAGGCCUAGGAAGGGGACGACGCGAAGCCGGGGAAGACACGGCAGUGGAUGCCCACGCGUAGAGGAGUACGAGGGUUCACUGGUUCGCUGUGGUCUGAGGUUGCCGUCGCCGCAAAAUAAUAGGGGGUGCGGGUGAGUAGAGGGAUGGCCUGGCCAGCGAUCGGAGUAGUAGGUGGCGGUGAGGCCUUCGCCGCAUCGCAGCCGGCCACGGGAGGCAGGAGCAAGAGGCACAACUGGCGCUGGUUUGGGCGGCUAGAGCAAGAAGACCAGAGGUUGAAGAAGCAUUACGGCCAUUGGAUGGACAUCGUACGGUCAUUGGAGCUAGAAUCAUGCAUAUUGACUAAGUUGACAAAGCCCUCCGUCCCCGUCAACUUAGUAGGCCCACAAGUCAGCCUGCCACUAUACUGGGUCCCAGCUAACAGGGGGAGUAUUCAUCUUUUUGUGCGUAAUAAGGAGGCACUUCCUUGCGUGCAAAGAUAUAGCUGGUGGGUCCGAGCUAUCAGCAGCGACAACGUUUUUUCCGCGAAAUACGGAGGCCCUUCCGGUGGAUCCUUGAUGUCAGGUGGAGGAAUCAUUAUUUUGCGCGUAAUAAGGAGGCAUUUCCUUGCGUGCGGCCGCGGACCUAGCUAUCGGCCUCUCCACGUACAGUCCACUUCAGAUGCAUGUCGGUCAUUGACCACGUUGACCAGGCCGUGCCGAGAGCACCAGGGCGGUGGACGACGGCGAGGCCUAGGAAGGGAACGACACGGAGGCAGGGAAGACUUGGCAGUUGUUUCCCACGCACAGGGGAGUACGACUGUACGAGGGUUUACUGGUUAGUCUGCCAUCGCCGGAGAAUAACAACAGGUAUGGGUGAGUAGAGGGAUGGCCAGGCCAGGAUGGGAGUACGGUGGGGCGGUGAGGCCCGCGUGGCAGCACAGCCGGCCGCGGGGAGGAGGGAGCACGCAGUCUCGCCGGCGCUUGUUUGAGCGGCUGGAGCAGGAAGAGCAGAGAUUGAAGAAGCACGACGGCCGUUUGAUGGACAUCCAACGGUCACUGCUUGUGCGUCAACCUUUUUUAGGAAAGCCUCAAAUAUGUGGAAAAUAGCAUACAACCCAUCUGCCAUUAUUUCUAAUAAUUUAUAGCCCAUUUGCUAAUUCUUAAGGUCUUUUUUGGAGCCCAUAUUGUGGCCACGGUUAAAAAAUUAUACAAAAUUUUGCAUAUUUCGGUGCGGUCCGAACUGUUUUUAAUCCCGAAAUUUCGACUCACAUUCAAACUGACUUUAAAAAUAAAUGUAAAAUCAAUAUAAAAUCCAACAAAUUCUCCAUGCAUAAAAAUUAAUGUAAUUUAAAAUCUCGAAAUGAAAAAAAGAUAUUUGAAACUAAUUGCCGGUUUGAUGUGUUUUAAAAAUGUACAGCCCAUUUCUCAUUACUGAUGGGCCAUUUUCUCGGCCAGCCAAAUGAAAGCUCUCCUCGUCUUGAAAGAUUUGCAGCCCAACAGGCCUGACAAAGCGACUUACUUGGCAAAUCACCAAAAAACUGGGCUGUGGCCAUGGACCCAGCUGUCAGCCUCUCCAAGUACAGUACUCUUCCGAUGGAAGUCGUUCCUUGACCACGUUGACCAUGCCGCACGGAGAGGACCACGGCAGUGGACGACGGCGAGGCCUAGGAAGGGGACGACGCGGAGCCGGGGAAGACACGACAGUGGAAGCGUGGGUGAGUGGAGGGAUGGCCUGGCCAGCGGCGGGAGUAGUAGGGGGCGGUGAGGCCUCCGCGGCAUCAUAGCCGGCCACGGGAGGCAGGAGUAGGCGUCACGAUCGGCGCUGCUUUGUGCGGCUGGAGCAAGAAGACCAGAGGUUGAAGAAGCACG
This 54191-nucleotide long non-coding RNA is filed under the name Triticum aestivum (bread wheat). Its description in RNAcentral is "long non-coding RNA (TAES_LNC011557)". The record is from RNAcentral. Lineage: Eukaryota; Viridiplantae; Streptophyta; Magnoliopsida; Poales; Poaceae.